UUAUGUCUUUAUAUGUUCACUUAGAGCUUUUGCCUAUUCAUGGGCUCAGCCCAAUACCUCAUCGUGUGGAUAUCGUGACUUUAACAUGUGCCUUCCCUGCUAAACUAUGUGUAACAUGAAGACAAGGACAAUCUCCGCCUUGCUCAUCCAUCUCUUUGUAGUACCUUAUCCAAGUCCUGAAGCAUCUCAGGAACAAAAUAUUUCUGUUAAUUGAAUGAGUGGAAGAAGCUCCAGGCAUUCAAGUAUGUUUAUGGCAACAUCUCAAAUCAUUCACCUUGCUUCUCAAUGAUGUCUAUCCUUCUCAAGAUUGGGGAAUUCAGAAUUCAUAAUGAUAUUCUUUUAGUUUUGAUUCCAAUUCUUUUCUCAAUCUCUCCACCUUCCUCGUCACACAUUUAAAGUACAGAGAACGUAAGGUAGCUGUGUAAAGAACCAACUGAAGCCAAUUCUGGUAGGAAACACUUGCUUGUUUUAUUUAAUCAGAUAACACAAAAUAACUGGUGAAUAUGUUCUUUCUUAUAAUUUGGCUCAAUUGACUGGUGUUUUGGUCAUCAUGUUUCUACUUACACCAGUCUCCCAUGGAGUUCAAUUUCACUUUUCUCUGUGUGUGUUCUUGUGUGUGGUAGGUAGAAUAGUAGUUCCUGAGGAUUCCCACUCUGUAAUCCCUGGAACUGUGAAUAUGUUACCUUACAUAGCUAAAGAGACUGCAGAUGUGAUUUAGGAUACAGAUUUUGAGAUGGGGUGAUCACCCUGAGAUAUCUGGUGGCUCCAAUCUAAUUACAUGAUUCCUUUAGAGGUAGAGAAAUUUUCCUAUCUGUAUUUAACGAGAUGUGACAAUGAAAGACAUUUUCAGAAAGAGGUGACAUGGCUGACUUCAAAGAUGGAAGACCAGGUCCUGAGCUAAAGUCUACAAGUGGCCUCUGGAAGCUGAAAAGGGCAAGAAAACAGAUUCUCCUCUGGAGCCUCUGUAAAGAACCCAACAACACUUUCCUUUAGCCCAGGGAGACCCAUGCUAAACUUCUGACCUACUGAAUUGUAAGGGAAUAAAUUGUGUUCUUUUAAGUGAAUAAAUUUAUAGUAAUUUGUUAUAGUGUUAGAGAAUAAAUAUAUUGAUAAUUUUUGAUCAGUUUAUGUGAAUCUAUAUUCUUAGUUCUAGAAAGUUAUUUUAAUAAAAAUUAUUAAAAAUUACAUUUUCAUAACAGCAUACUGUUUGGCUAAGAAAAUUUAAAUACUUGUGGAUUUUUUAAAUUGGCCCUAUUGGUUAAGAGAAAAUAUAAUCAGGUAAGGCAGAUGGGAUUUUAAUAGGUAGGGCCAUGUUCCUCCUUCUUUGGGGGAAUUUUGUGGGAAUCAUUAUGUAUAGUUAGACUUGGAGUGUAUGUGGUAUGGACAUGUUUUCCUUGACUGAGGAGACGGAGAAUGGUAGAAGGGCUGUGGGAGAUGGAAACUGUCUUGGUAUUUGUGGUCAGGUUGGUGAAAUAUUUGGUGGCUUGUUGAUCUUAUAUAUGGCUCUUUCAGUCAUAAUCUUUUGGCAGUGUGACAGUAUCCUUCAUCGGGAGUUUUCUAAUAUUUGACUUAAUAUCAACAUGGGAAUAAAGAAAUGAAAAUAAGAAACUCGAAGUUUAAAUACAUUAUACAAGAUCAUGGUUAAAAUUGCAUUAGAGGUUAAUCUUUGGUUUCUUUGAUUUCUAUUUCCAUUUCUAAGUGAAUAAAGUAAGUAAAAUCUUUAAAAGUUAACAAGCAACCAAUUUUUAAAUACACAUUUUUUGUUCUUCCAAAGUAUAUCUAUUUAAAAAGUUUAUUAAAGUCUUCACUCUUUGAAAUGAUACAGGUAUCUUCAAGUUUAAAAAAAAUUAUUCUCCCAUUUGGCAUAUGUAUUAGUUUCCUACUAACUGCUAUAACAAAUUGGCACAAAUUUAGUAGCUUAAAACGACACAAAUUUCAGACACAAGUCUGAAAUGAAAGUGAGAUGCUAAAAUCAAGGUUUGUGCAAGGCUAGAUCCUUCUGGAGGCUCCAGGCAAUAGUCUGUUUCCUCACUUCUUUCAGCUUCCAGAAGGAUAAGUUACUGUGGACAGGUUGGUGGACAGGUUACUUCUUGUCUCAUGAGCAUAUCACUGCACUCUUGACCCUGUCAUCACAGCUGCUUCUCUGAUUCUCCCUAAUCCCUAUUUUAAGAACUUUUGUGAUUGUAUCAGUUUCAUCCAAAUAAUGCAUCUCCCCAUCUCAAAUUCUUUAGCCACCUGCAAAACUCCCCUUUGCCCUGUCGAGUAACAGGUAGGGGUUCUAGGAUUGGGAUACAGGCAUAUUUACAGCCUACCACAAUAUAAACUAGAAAUCAUAAAUGCUCUGAAGUCUUUCAGUAUUGCUAUUCUUACCUUAAAAGUCCAAAACCAACCUUUACAAAGGAAGAUUCUGUGUAAAAUAUCCUCAACUAUUAUUUCAACCAGCAUACUCCAUGUAGUUCACAAUUCAUAGAUAGUAGAACUACAGAGUUUUCAGAAACUGGAGAAAAUAUAUAUUGCAUAACUUCUUUGAAUCAAUGAGAAGACUGAUUAAAGAUCUUAAAUUAUGUGCCCAGAGCCACUGACCAAACUUAGAAGUAAAACAAGGGCCAGGAAAAGACACAAAGAAACACUUACUGAAUAUAGUUCAGUUAUGUGCCAGACACUGCAUAUUUUGUACAUCUUCUGGGUCAGUCUUAUUACUUCAAUGUAUAGAGAUACAGAAAGUGAAACCAAGAAAAUGACUGCCUAGUUCAGGAUCACACAGAUAUUUUGAUGAAUUCAGUUCCUGGAAAACUUGUAAAUAACAGAUAUCUGUUUCUCACAGUUUGGAGGCUGGGAAGUCCAGGAGGAAGGUGUGGACAGAUUUGGUGUCCAGCAAUAGAGGCAAAUGCUAUGUUCUUGCAUGGUGGAAGGCAUAGAGGGAACAGAAUCAAUGUCCACUCCUUGUCCAGUUGAAUUCAGGUGUGCUGUGUGAUGUCCUCAGAAUGGGUCCUUCUGAGUUGAAUGUUUCUCAGCUGCUUCUUGCUCAGCCAUGCUUCUUUCACUUAGCCAGAGUGACUGGCUAUGUUCUCAGUAAAGGAAGCUCUGUGAACCUGGGUCCCAAAAUGAAAAGAACCUGGACACGUGUGUAUCGUUAAAACAAGACGUGAAUCCCUGCUAUUGUAAGUCACUGAGAUUUAGGGGCCAUUUGUAUGGUGAAAUUGAUUCCUCUGCAGUAGUUACCAAGUUUCAAGGCUGUCUGAUUUUAAAGUCUAUUUCCAUGGUUUGAAUUUUUGUGUCUCUUCCAAAAUUCAUGCAGGAAAAUUAAUUCCCAAUGUAGCAUUUUAAAGAGGUGAGGCCUUUACAAGGUGGUUAGGGCAGGAGGUCGCUCUCAGGGUUGGUUUAGUGCCUUGUAAAAGAGCUUGAAUGAGUGAGUUUGUCCCUUCUAUCCUUUCUCCAUGUAAGAACAGUGUUUGCCACCUGCCCUGUGAGGACACAGCCACAAAAUCCCAUCCUGGAAGCAGAAAGUGAGCCUUCCUCCAACACCAAACCUGCUGAUGCCUUGAUCUUGGAUCUCCUGGCCUCCAAAUGGUGAGAAACAAAUGACUAUUAUCUACAAGUUACCCACUUUGUGGUAUUUUGUUAUAGCAGCAGGAACAGACUGAGACACCUGUAUUACAUAUGCUAGUCCACACAUGGAAAAUAUGAAAUAUCAUAUUUUUAUUAUAAUUUGACUUCAUUUUAAACAAGUUUGUGGAAGUGGGUAGAUAAUAACAUUUACAAAAGAAUGGAUCAUUACUGUCAUAGUCUUUUCUUUUUAAGCCACUUAUUAGAAUACGCUUUAUGUCACAGAGAAUCAUCAAUGAUAAUAAACUUUGUGAACAAAUAGCAAGCAAUACUAUCACAAGGUGUGAUGUGGUAGAUGUUCAUCUAUUGCCUUAUGUUCUGACAAAAGCCCCAAUCAAGUGUGUGUUAUUAUGUUCAUCUUAUUUUUUAGAUAAGAAAACAGGAAGGACUGGGGCUAUGGGUCAGUGAUAGAGCACUUGCAGAGCCCCGAGUUUGAUUCCCAGAACUGUUUUAAAAAAAGAAGAAGGAGGAUAAGGACGAUGAGGAGGAGGAGGAAGAAGAGGAGGAGGAGGAAGAAAAGACAGAAAGCUGAGGCAGAAACAAUAAAUUGAAGAGCUUAGCUUGUAUUCGAAGCUGCUGUGAACCUCUACCUUCUUCAGUACAUUUUUAAUCAACUUGUUAGUUUAUUUCAAACAUUCAUAAUCAAAAUCAAUAUUUAAUAGUUGGACAUUUUAGGAUGUUGGAAUAUAAGUUGAAAUUGUAUUUCAAAAUUUGUAUUGUAACUUUUGCUUUAUUUGGAGCUUUCAAUAUAGAUAGUUUCUCUGAAACAAGAUACUAGUCAAUUAAAAGAACAAAUCAACCAGAUUACUGGGGUUCAAAAAAUGUCAGGCUAACUGACCAAAUUAAUACAGAGACUAUAAUUACAUAUACACUAUACUGUACAUCCUUUGCUGAAGCCACUGGAGUUAUUAAUAACACUUACAUUGUUACCACUUUUUAAAAUUUAUAUCAUUGCUUCAACUAAAGUAGAGAUAGAGUCAUUCUCUCCCAUUUUCCUCUCAUUUGUGCCACCUUCAUACCAGAUUAAGUUGUCAUCUCCUUGGGUUUUUUUAAGAGCUGAAGAUUUUUUUAGAAAAGGAUUAGCUCUGAAAUUCUAGUACUGUGCAAGUCAAAGUCCUGUCGUGAAGACUGAUUUAUAUUUUGUUUUAGAUUUGUGAAAGCAAUUAGGGAUUGGGCUGGUGCAAGCUGACAGCAUAGAACCUUAUAAGAUACUAUUUCAGAAGCAAAUCAACCUGACUGUGGAACACCACAAAGUGUAAAUGAUAUUCUGGAUCCCUUCACAAUUCAUGGAUCUCUUAGGCACAUCACAUAGCUUUGGAAACUUGUGUUCUUUCUUGGGGCAUUGACUGUGAUUAGUAAUGAAUCCUUUCCUCCUGUUUUUUGGAAGUAAGGAAGAGCUGCUGCUUCCCUAUGUUACUGAAAUAAUAAAAAUCACUUUUUAUGGUACAUUCUUGGUGUUUUAAAGACUUAGGGAAUAACCUCUUAAACCAUUCAUUAGUUUUUUGACUGAUGAAAAUCUUUAGCACUUUAUUUAUUUAUUUAUUUAUAGAAAAGUGGGACCCAUGGUGCAGGGACUUCUGAUGGGGGAGGACUGACAAUGAGCAGGCUUCAAGCGUUUAUUAUAUAGGUUUUUAUAAUAAUGGGAUUCAUUGUGAGAAAGUUACUUUAAAACAGAGCCAAGGUCAAUUGUUAGAACAGCCCACUUACAGUCAUCAGCUCAUAGCACUCUAAUUUUACAUAGUAUUUUGAUAUAUUUAUUUUCCUUACUUCUUCUGCAUGUGAAAGCUACAUUGGUUAGGGUGUAAUUUCAUGUGUUCACAGUGUAUGAACAGGAACAUUUAUCAGAAGGGUAGUCAACUGAAAAGUCAUCGAAAUAUUGAGGAAUUACUCUUUGAAUAAUAUUUCUGUAUUUUCCUCUCCUCAUUCACUUACUAUAUUAUUUGAUUUCAAGUAUAAAAAGAAACAAGUCCAGUAACAUUCAAAUUAGGUUUAUGAUAAAAAUAGAAAGAUGGAGACAAAAUGAUAGCAUUGUGAGUUUUACAAACAAUUUAAUAUAAUAUAGAAUCUAAAAUUUAGCCUUAAUUUUGAUUUUAAACUCAUAUUUUUAUCAAUAGUAAAUCUAAUUUAUUUUUACUAUUUUUACUAAUUUAUUUUUUAAUGAAAAAGUUAAUUUUAAGAGCAAAAUUAUUGAUGUGUUCUGGACUUCUCUAUGAAAGUAUAACAUUGUACUCUCUCUGUAUUGCAUUUCUUGUGCUUUAUCCUAAAUAUGUGAGCCAAUGCCAUUGGUGUAAUAUGAAAUUCAAAUUUAGAAGAAAAACAUUAAUAACCCAAAUAUACUUUUAGGAAGACUAAAGGCAUAGUGUUAAAUGAAAGAGAAGAAUGUUUGAUUUAUUAGAAAUUAUGGUAAGAAUCAAGCAUAAAUUAUUUAAAGAUUGAUAAUUUAAUAUUGGGACUACUUUUAAAAUUUUAAAAUAUAAACUAUGAUUUCAUAAAAGAAAAAAGAGAGUUCUAACUGAAAAUAAUUAUUCCAUCUAUGUUAUUCCAAAAAUUCAAAUAAUUUUUAAACCAAAACACUUGAUGCUUAUUCUAAAUAUAGUUUAAAUCCAAACAUCAAAAGAACAUUUAGAGGCAUCUGAGCAUUAUUUAGGAUUGUGGGUUGAGUGGGUACUACUAUACAGUCUCACACACACACACAUGAAAAUACAUAUAUACAAACAUAAAGAUACAUAAAUUUAAUUUUGUAUAUAUUUAUGAUAUUUUAUUCUUUCUAUUUAUUAAGUAUUUAACAUAAUCAAUAUGUUAUGCUUUAUUAUUUUAUGGACAACAGUAUAUUUUUAUACUGUCAAAAGAAGUUUUGACUUCAAAAGAAGUUGACCAAAUUUAUCAUGAUAUAUGAUAUUCAAAUAAUGGCCAAAGAAAAUGUUCAUUUACAUAUAUGUAGAACUUCUCUACUCAGUAAUAGUAAAUGACAUUUUCAUAGUCAGUAAUGUUUCUAAGUAGUACAUAAAAUCUAUUCAAAAUACUCCUGAUUCUAGGAGCUUUCCCUCCACUAGCUUAACUUGAUAAAAUUUCCUUUUAAUUGUUUAUUGGAACCUGCAGAAUGAGUUCCAAAGGUUUAAUAGAUAAUCAUAUAAUUACUAGUAGUUAGAUGUAUAAAAUAUAAGUUCUAAUCUAAUUAUCUAUGAAGAAAAUAAAUUCUUUUGGUUGCAACCAUUUAAAACAGACAGACAUGUUACUUGAUAUUCAUUUUGACUUACCUAUAAAAUAUUCUAAUCUUAUCACCAAAACCCACCCACAAAUACUACAAAUGGUCACAGAUCUUAUGAGAAAAAAAUACAAUGUAACUCCUCCUAAUAUUACAUAGACAAAAUUGUUAACUUUAACAUUGCCUUGUUGAAAUAUUGCAUUAAGUCUUUUGUUAUUUGCAAGUUGUUUUCAAAAAGAUUAGAUUUUUAAAAUUAAAGGAGUCCAACAAAAAUAUUUUGCAAAUACAGACUAUUCAGUUCAUCCACUAUAUGUUUAGAAAACAGUAUUAUUUUCAUGUAUGAAUAUACACAUAUGCACACAUACCCAAAUACACAUAUAUAUUUUAUUUAGUGAGAUCCAAGUACAUGAAUAAAUAAGACAAAUUGAAUCAAUAUAUACUCAGGACAUGUGUCAUGUUAUUUUUUCAACCGAUUCCAUUAUCAGACAUUUGAUGAUCCAUGAUAAUAUUCAGAGAGAUGUAAGAAGACAUGGAAUCUAUAAAACUAGGAUAGAGUACAAUCAAAAAAUAACUUUGUGGGAAUAAUAAACAUUUUUAAAUUUAAACAGUCAAAAGAAAUGUUGGUAGAGAAAUGGGUUGGAGGAACUGGCACAGAAAGAGGAAUAGGACAAUGAAGGGUUAGAAUAUUGUAGAAACAAGUGUAGUAAAUUAGAAGUUUAAUUCAGAAGUUUCUGUAUUUGUCUAAUAGAGUUGUGGUAAAAUGGAAUGAGAAAACAGCUGAGAGAAAAUAACCAGUGAAAUACAAAAAAAGCAAGUGCCAGGAGAGAUGAAUGUAGAUAUCAGAUAUAUAUUUAAAAAAAACAGUUGAGGUCAAUAAAUGACAAGGAACUUCUAUCAAGGCACACUUUCAUAGAAUUUUAGUCCUCAGAAGCUUCCACAGAGCGAAGAAACAUGCAGACAGAUUUGAAAAUAAGUGUAUCAUUAAAUUUUACAAUAGUAGUUCUGAAGCUGAAAGAUGAUUUCAACCUUAGAUGCUUCAUCCAACCAAAUUGUAAACUAAGACAAGAAGAUACAAAUAAGAGAGACAUUCUUUUUUCAUUUUUUUUUAGUUGUAGAUGGACACAAUACCUUCAUUAUGUUUAUUUAUUUUUAUGUGGUGCUGAGGAUGGAACCCAGUGCCUCACGCAUGUGAGGCAAGCGCUCUACGGCUGAGCCACAACCCCAGCCCCCAAGAGAGACAUUCUUAAACAAGAAGAAUUCAUAAUGAUUUUCCUAAUGUGCUUCUGUUAAAAAAUCAAUGGAAGACAUACUUCAGUAAAUGAAAAUCAGUAAAAUAUAAGAAAGAAAUGGGACAUGACAAAAAGGACGUCUAGUAAAGAGGAUGUGGGAAAUUAUUUCUGAGUCAACAGCUGUGCAUGAACCUACAGAAUCAGGAUAGAGUUUCAGGAGGGAUAGACCUAAAAGGACACUGAGAGUCAGAAAGUCAGAUGUGGUUACCUGCAAUAAGAGUUCCCCUGUUCAGUGUGAGAGAUUGGCAUAGGUUGCUGCUACUUGAAAAUUAAGGCAAAGCAAACAAAAAUAUAGACUAUAAUAAAUUCAAAGAAAAGCACAAAGAUAUCCAAGAAAAGAAAAUAUAUAUGUUACAUAGAUUCUAAAUCUCAUCUACAAAUGCAUAAGAAUGUAUAUAUGUAGAAUAUUCCACAAAAGUGAAUAUAUUGGGAGGAUUGAAAAUUAAUAGUAUAUGUGUGUAGAAUUGAGAAGAUGGUAGUGGAAGAAAGUUAAAGCGUAAUUUAAUUAUCUACAUUGCAAACCCCGUACCAGGGAUUGAACUCAGGGGUACUCAGCCACUGAACCACCUUCCCAGCCUAUUUUGUAUUUUAUUUAGAAACAGAGUCUCACUGAGUUGCUUAGCGCCUCACUUUUGCUGAAAUUGGCUUUGAACUCAUGAUCCUCUUGCCUCAGCCUCCCGAGCCGCUGGGAUUACAGGCGUAUGCCACCAUGCCCAGCUAAAAUAAAUUUUAAAAAAAUGGUAUGAAGAGUUGCCUUUGUGGAGUUUGGCAACUGAGUGGUAUAAAAAUGGGUCUCCCAAUUUUUUUUUGCAAGCAAAAUUAUUUAAUUUUUUUUGACUUCUUAAAUUAUUUUCACAUAUUUCUUUGAUAAAAGUUUAAAAAUUCAAAGCAAUAUUCAGAUUGCCUCAUCCACUUACUCAUAGUUUAAUAGUUAAUUCUAUAAGAAGGCAGAACAAAUUCUCUUUGAUCAGUAUAGUGCAUGAUAUAUGAACCAAUCCACAGAAGCAGAAAGUAUAUGUAUGUGUCUGUGCAUACAACACAGGUGUGUGUGCACAUGCCCCAAACCCAAGUUGAAUGCUUUGGAUGGACUUAUUAGAUAUGAGUCAUAUUUGAAAAACAUCAAUACAGAAUUAGAUAUUAGUAAUAUAGGUGAAAAUAUAGGUGGGGAAAAUGAAAAUUUUCACUUGCAUUCUUUAUUUGGGUUGCUUUGUAAAUGUGUCCAAGUUUAGGCUCUCCUCCAAGGGUCAAAAUGGUAAAAUGUGCACUAUGGGUGUGGUUGAUACUAGAAAAGUAGCACAAAACACCAAACAAGAGACCUACUCAGGAAAUGGAGGCAUAGACCAACAUAAGGGUUGUGCAUUAAAAGAAUAAUUUUGCCAUUUGUAAUUUUUAUUUUUAAAAAUUAUUUGUCACAGUCUUUUUGUGAUUGACCAAAAACUGGGCUUGAUAGAGUUGGAUAAGACAGUGCCUGCAGUAAUCAUGAAGAGCUGGGAGAGCUAUUGAGACAGAAGUAACAUGAUAACAGCCCUUCUCUUAGAAGUUUUAGAGAGCAGUUUUCCUCAAUUUUAUCCCCCCUUUUCACUGUAGAUUGGAAAAAAUAAAAGAAAAUGUCUAUUUCCAACUGUGAGCUCCUUCAUUUAGAGCCUGAGAUUAGGUUAUGGCUGCCUGUUCUACUCCUGGGAGUGGGGGGAUUUUCUUGCAAAAAAAUCCGUGUGCCAGUUCAUCUUGCAGUUUUCUACUUCAGCUUUCUUUUUUUCUUUUUUUUUUUUAAUUUUUUAUUGUGGGUUGUUCAAAACAUUACAAAUUAGCUUUCUUUGAUAACAAGAAGGCAGUAUCCUUCUCCUAAAUGCAACUCAGCCUUAUGUACAAAGGAUGAAGACAUCUAAACACUUACCAACUUUAUUCCCUGAAGAAGCCUCUCCCCCUUUUUUGAGGGAGAUUUCCUACAAGGCACAACAUUUGUUUUCCCAUCUAAAUCAAAUUCUUCAAAGACAAGAAUAUGGUUUAAUGUCAUAUUUUUUCUCUUUCCUAUUUUCUUUUCUUUUUUUUUUUUUACUUCUCACUUUUGGCAAACACAAUGCUAGAUAUUAACUGAUCAGUUAAUCAGUUUUGGGAAGAGGGUACUAAUAAUUUUACCUUGAAAUUGGCAACAUGAUCUGAUUAUUUCAAUUACUUUGAACUUUCUCUACCUGAAGUUUUGCUUUUGCAAGAUUCACUGAAAGCUUCUAUUCUAAAGUCAAGGAGAAUUUGGCAUAGUUCAGAAUUAUUUCAGGAAUAACAAUGACUGGUGGAUUUGGUGAAGCACUCCUGUAAUCCCAGUGGCUUGGGAGGCUGAGGCAGGAGGAUGGCAAGUUGAAAGCCAGCCUCUGCAAAAGCGAGGUACUGAGCAACUCAGUGAGACCCUGUCUCUAAAUAAAAUACAAAAUAGGACUGGGGAUGUGGCUCAGUGGCUCAGUGGUCCAGUGCCCCUGACUUCAAUUCUGGGUCCUCCCCAACCCCUGCAAAAAAAAAAAAAAAAAAAAGAAUCACAUGACAUUUGAGUAAAGAACUAAAAACUGAAGUCCAACAUGUUGCUGUUCAUGUAAAUUCUGUGGUUUCUCCUAAAAUUGCAAUAUUAUUUUCUUUGCAGCCGUGGGGAGUGGGGUACAUCUUAAACAGAAUAUUUUCAAGUUCUCUUUUCUAUUAUUUAUGAUAGUACUAUUAAUUCAUUUCACUUAAACAUACUCUGCAUUCACAAAAUACAUUGUUUCUAUAAUUACUAUAGUCAUUUAAAAAAUCAAUUAGGAAUAAGAAAAAUAAAAGAUUUUAUUUUAUCUUCAAUUAUUCAUUUUCCAGUGACUUCCUUUCUUUUAUGACACUUACUUAUUACUUUUAUUAACAUUUUCAAACUGAAGGACUGUUAUUAUUUUUUCAGGCCUGGCCUGCUGCCAGCUAAUUUUCUUGGGUUUUGUUUGUGUGAGAAAUGAUUUAUUUCUUAUUCACUUUUGAAGGAUGAUUUCAUUGGAUAUAAAUUUUUAGGCCAGUGGUUUUCUCUUUCAAUACUUAGAAUAUUUACUACGCUCUAUUGUUUGUAUGAUUUCUUAUGAGACGUCCUUCAUAAUAUUUAUCUUUGUUCCUCUAUAGGUAAGCUUAUCUGGGUUUCCUUUUUCAUUUUGUUCUAAGAUGUGCUCAUUGUCUUCUGCAUUUUGAAUACUGUAUGCCUAAAUGUAGGAUUUUUUAAAUGUUUUUCCUAUUUGAUGUUCUUCAAAAUUCUUAGAUAUAUGGUUUGAUAUCUGCUAUGACUUUUGGAACUUUCUUGGCUUUUAUUACCUUAAAUAUCUUUCUGCUGUAUUCUCUCUUUUUCUUCUGAUAUGUUAAUUACAUGUGUUAUAUCUUUGAAAUUGUCCUAUUAAGAUAUUUUGUUCUGUUUUUUCCCUCAUGUCUUUUUUCUCUUCCACUUCCAUUUGAGAAGUUUUGUCGACUCAUCUUACUGUUAACUAAUUUUUUUCUUAUCUGUGUCCAGUAUGCUGAUGAGUUUGUCAUAGUUGUUCUUCGUUUCUGUCUUGUUCUUUUGAUAUCUAGUGUUUGGAUUUGUUGAAAUGAAAUUCUUUAACAUAUAAUUAACCAUUUUAAAAUGUAAAGUUCAGUGGCAUUUAGUGUAGUUAUGAUGUAGUGCAAAAAACAUCUCUCUCUAUUUUCAAAACUUCUAUCCCUGGAAAAAUACCCCAUAGUCAUUAAGUUAUCACUCCCCAUUUCCCCUUACCAAUCACAUCAUAAUAAUCACAGAUCUUCUUUCUAUCUGUGGAUUUGCCUAUGCUGGAUAUAUCAUAUAAAAAGGAUGAUGGAGGGGCUGGGGUUGUAGCAUGUGUGAGGCACUGGGUUUGAUUCUCAGCACCAAAUAUAAAUAAAUAAAGGUCCAUCAACAGCUAAUACAGUAUUUUUUUUAAAAAAGGAUGAUGUAAUAUGUAAUUUUAGUAUUUUGUUUCUGUCACCUGGUAUAAUGUUUUUGAGGUUCAUCUAAAUUGCAACAUAUAUCAGUACUUUGUUACUUUUAUGACUGAAUGAUAUUUCAUUGCAUGUAUUAACACAAAUUGUUUCUUUGCUAGUCUGUUGAUGAACAUUUUGGUUUUUUCACUUUAGUUUUAUGAGAAAUGUUGAUAUAAACAUUCAUUUACAAAUUCCUUCGUGAAAUUAUGCUUUUAAUUAUUUUGGGUAUAUUGCUAAGAGUAGAAUUUAUGAAUCAUAAGAUAAUUCUAUAUUUGAACUUUUGAAGAGCUGCCAAACUUUCUACAGCAGCUGCUUGAUUUUACAUUCCUGGCAACAAUGUACAAUGGUUCCCAUUUCCAUUUCUCCACAUUCUUGCCAACACCUGUUGUUUCCCAUUGUUUUUGUUUAAAAUUAUCCUAAUCUGAUUUGCUUUCCAUAAUAACCAGUGGUAUUGAACAUCAUUUCACAUACCUGUUGGUCAUCCCUUCUUCUUUGAAGGAAUAACUAUUCAGGUCCUUUGCUCAUUUUGAAAUUGUGUUGUUGCUCUUUCUAUUGUUGAGUAGUAACUAUUCUUUAUAUAUCAUGGAUAUUAAAUUUUAUCAGAUAGGAUUUGAAAAUAUUUUCUUCCAUUCUAUAGCUUAUCUUUUCACUUUCUUGAUAAAGCCCUUUGUUGAGAAAAAAUGUUUUCAACAAAAGAAUCUGUUGCUAUAUCCCAAAGCAUGAAGAUUUUUUCUUACAGUUUCCAUAUUCUGUGCAUAUUACCCAUGAGUUCCUUCAUGUACACAACUUCUUCAGGUAGAACCUUUAACAUAUAAAUUAUAGCUAUUUUAGAUUCCCUACCUGAUAACUUCAAAUCAGUAUCAUACCUGUGUGUGGCUCUGAUGGUUUAUUUCUUCAAAUUAUUUUUAAUUUGUGUGGGGGUUAUGGAUUCUAGCUUUUUCCCCCCUGAAAACUAGGCUUAUUGCAUUGAGUAAUUAGUACUGAGUUCAUGGAAUUUAACUGUGAAGAUUUAUGUUAAUAUGAGUAUGAGUUAGGUUCUGUUAAUGUUUACUGUGUUCAUGUUUUUGUGCCAGAGGUUUCCCUCUAGUGCACUUGUGCUUGACUCCUGUGUUACCUGUGAGCUUCCCCAAGAAGUCUCCUUUAUCCAGAGUCUGAGUCCUAUAGCUCUUGAGGUAUGGUUCUCUGCUAUUACACUGGAGACUUGUUGGUGUUCUGGUAGGGUGGAGGGGAAGUGCCCUCUACAUUUUAUGAUUCUGUCCUAGUCUUUUAAUGAGCCUAUGUCCUGGGUGUGACAUUCACAAGUGUCUUACUUCCCGUCCCCCCUCUAAGGUGAGACAGGAAGAGAGAGCUAGAAUGAGGAAAAUUAUCUGGCCUUAGAUGAGAGAAGACUCUGGGAAAAUCUGUUCCCCUGAAGUGUAGGUCUCUGUUAUGGAGAACAUCAUGGUUUUAUUUCCCCCAUGCUUACUCUUCUCCUUCCACAGCAGAGCAAGGAGAGAAAUUUCCCAUUAAAACGUGGUGGUAUUCCUAAAAGUAAAAAUCCAUGAAAGUGUAGGGACCUGCAGGACAGUCCUCUGGGUGGCCUUGAGACUGACAUAGCUCUCUCCUUCUUUCCUUGCUUAAACUUCUUAAGAAUAACCAUGGUAUGUGCUGGAAAUACAAUAUCCAGAGUCAAGGAAGAACUUAAACCCAAUAGCCCAGGGCUUGUUCCUGUCUCUCCUAGGGAAUGUAGCAUCUUGAAUUAGAAAGGAACUGCACAAGUCAACCUUAGUUUGUUUCCCUCUCACCUGAAAGCAGGAUGCUCUUCCAUGUUUUGCCAAUGAGUUCCAGGAUCCCUGCAGUAACUCAGGACAGGCUCCCUUUCAAAAUCCCUGUGAUGUGGUAUAAGUGAGCACAGGUAAGUUUCUAUCCAAUCUGGGCAACUUUCCUUAGCUUUGGCUUUGUAAGACUCAGCUCAUAAUGGAUCCUCGGUUCCUUUUGUCCCUUGCUGCUUAAAUAUAUAUGAAAUAAAUCCAAUUUAUAUAACCUUGUCUAUGCAUAUAUUCAUCUCAUGGACUCAGUUAAGUGAGUAUCUACUGGAUGGUGAACCAGUUUCUUAGAUCCCACUAAAACUGUAGUCUUUAGAAACUUCUUUCUCAUGUCAUAUUACAUUCAGCCUCCAGCAAUUCAUCAAAAUCACCAUUAAGUAUUUUCUCAUGUCUAUGACUUUGCUGGCUUCUGUUCUAGGUAAGCAGGUGUCAGAUGGAACUGGGAUUUCCCUGUUUCUCCAAAUUUGGGGGGAUGGUUUUCCCUACUACUUUAUUUGUUUGACAGGAUCAAGAAAACACAAUGGUUUUAAUUUCUUUCAGGCGUUUCAUGUUUGUGCCUUAGAGUGAUAUUUAUCAAAUUCUUUAUAUGUUGGAACUAUAACAGGAAGUCUCUAGUAGAAAACUUCUUGUGUUUCCUGUCAGAUUGCCAGAAUAGGCUUCAUAAUCUGUUCUCUCUAUGCUUUCACAGUGGUUCUCUAUCAUCUAUGGUUACAAAUGCUUAUAUGCAUCCUAAAGUAAUAUACUCCUGGAAGGUAUUGUUCUAGUUACUCUCCCAGUGGCAUUUGGCCUCAAGUUUCCUGCAUGGUUUGUGGCUGUACUUAAUCUCUAGACUUGUUAUCUUUAUUAUUGGAAGGAUCACCCAUCCAAUCCUCCUAGCUCUAUAUAUUCCAGCACUGCAUAAUUUAUAAUCAUGAAUAAUUUUUUUUAUUUCUGAUCAUAAUGCAUAUGACCAAGUGGGUUUGUAUUUUAUAAACCUUAGGUUUAAUCUUUCUAGGCCUUGCUGAGUGACUUUAAUAGUUUAACCUAUUACAGGCAUGGUGGAUAGAAAUAUAAUGCUAAAAGCUUAGUUGUAAAAAAGCUUUUUCUAGGAAUGAACCUAAAUUACUAUAUCAAGCCCUUACUUUAUAUAUGUGGCAGAAAAUUGGUCUUAAUAAAUUUAAGUUGUGCUUGGUCCACUGAGGUUUUUAUCCAUAUUUUUAUUGCACUGAAUUAUCCUGAGAGCUUAUACAAGUAGGUGUUGUUUUUCAAGUUGAAAUGGACUGAUUCCUUGAAAAAUUCAAUUUAACAAGUUUUAGUCAUUUUCUGAGAAUUUUCAUCACAAGUUCAUUGUGGAUUUUGUCAUUUUUUUUCACAACUACUGACAAACUAAUGUUAUUUUUCUUUUUUAGCCUGGUGAUAUGAUUGACAUAGAUGUUGAACCAGCAUUGCAUACCUGGGAUAAAUUAAAGCUACUUGUGAUUCUUUUUAUAUAGUGUUGUACUUAAUUUGCUGAUAUUUUGCUGAAGAUUUUUGCAUCAAUUUUUGUGAAAGAUAUUGUUCUGGAGACUUUUCUUGUAAUAUAUGAUUUAAUAUUAUGGUAAUAUUGAGCUCAUAGAAAAAGAUAGGAAGUAUUCCUUCUGCUUCUACUUUCUGAAACACAUUGUAGAGAAUUAGAAAUUCCUUAAAAGUUUACUGUAUAUUUCAUCAGUAAACUCAUCUGGCCCUGGUGUUUUUUGUUUAGAAGUUUAUUAUUUAAUGAUUUAAUUUCUCUAAUAGACAUAGAUCUACUCAAUAUAUCUAUUUCAUCCUGUGUGAAUUUUGGUAAAUUGAGUCUUACAAGCAAUUGGUACAUUUCAUCUAGACACUCAAGUUUGUGAGUGUCAAGGUCAAGCUUGUCAGUUAUUCUUUUAUCAUACAGGUGAUUUUUGACUUAUAAUGGGUUUGCAUCCAAACUUAUCAUUAGCUGCAAAUCUCAUUAAGUAAAAAAUGCAUUGACAUUCCUAAUGUACCAGACAUCAUAACUUAGCACCACACAAACACUGCAGAGUGUCAGGUUUUUACUCUCAUGAUAUCAUGACUGCCUGGGGUCUGUGGUUCACUGCCACUGCCCACCAUAGUGAUAGAGUGUCCUAGUGCAUAUUAGACCCAAAUUCAAAAUUCAAGUGUAUGGUGUCUACUAAAUGCAUAUGACUUUCACACCAUCAUAGAGUCAGGAAAUUACAAGUCAGGGAUCAUCUGUACUCUUAAUGUCCUUUGCAACUGUAGUGUUGUCAUAUCUUGCAUUUCUAAUGAAUAAUGUAUUCGCUCUCUUUUUUUUACUCUGUCUAGAGGCUUAUUGAUUUUACUGAUCUUUUCGAAGAACAACUUUCAGAUUUAGUUGAUUUUCUCUAUUGAUUUCUUGUUUUUAAUUUUACGAAUGUCUGCUCUAAUUUUUAUUUUUCUUCUACUUUCUUUGAAUUCUACUUACUCUUCUUACUCUUCUUUUUUUGAGUUUCCUACAAUGGAGGCUGAGAUUACUGAUUUCCUAUCUUCCUUCUUUUCUAAUGUAUGCACUCAAUGCUAUAAAUUUCUCCCAAAGUACAGCUUCAUUGUAUCUCACAUACUUUCAAAAAUUGCAUUUUCAUUUUAACUCAGUUGAAGAUGUAUUUUAUUUUUCUAGAGAUUUCUUCAUUGAUCCAUUUGUUAUUUAGAAAUGUUUUGUUUACAAGUUAUUUGGUAUUUUCUAGCUUUCUGUUAUUGAUUCCUAGUUUAAUUCAUUGUGGUGUGAGAGCAGACAUUAUGUCAUUUGUAUUCUUUUAAAUUGGUUAAGAAGUGUUUUAUGAACUAUCUGGUCAUAUCUGAUAACAUGAUUGACUGGGAUCUGUGGUUCACAGCCACUGUGACCUACGUAGUGAAUUCCAGGUGAGUUUGAGAAGACUACAUGUUAUUCUGUUUUGGAUUACUCUAUAGAUGACAAUUUUGUCCAGUUGAUAAAUGGUACUGUUGAGUUCAGCUAUGUCCUUACCAUUUUUUUGGUCUUCUGCAUCUGUUCCAUUAUGGAUGAAGGGACAUUAAAUAUUCCAACUGUAUAGUGAUUUCAUUUAUUUCUUUCUGCUUGCAGCUUUGUGUAUCAUGCAAUUUGAUCCUGUUUUUAGGCAUAGAUACGUUGAAGAUUGUUGUGUCUUAUUGAAAAAUUAACCUCUUCAUCAUUAAAUGAUGGCUCUCUUUAUCCCUGAGAGUUGUCACUGCUCUGAAGUUUGCUCUCCAUGAAAUUAGUAUAGCUAUACCUGCUUUCUUUUAAUUAGCCUUAGUAUGGUAUAUCUUUCUCCAUCUCUUUGUUUUUAAUCUGUAUGUAUCUUUAUAUUAAACUGAGUUUCUCAUAGAAAACAUACAGUUGGGGCAUAUGUGUUUUAAGUUGGUGUAUUUUAAGUGAUCUUGAUAUAGUUGAGUUCAAAUUUACAAUAUUUGUUACUAUUUUUAUUUGUGGUCUCUAUUACUUAGAUUACUGAUUUUAAAUCUUCCUUUUCUAAUGUAUACAUUCAAUUUAAAUAAACCAUAGCCAUAAUUACGGUUUUCGCUCUAAUUCAUCUUCUACUCUUUUACUGCCUUUUGUGGUUUUAAUAAGCAUUUUGGGUGACUUCACUUUUGUUUCUUAGCAUCAGUGAUUCUUCUUCUUCUUCUUCUUUUUCUUCACUGCUUUCAAUGAUUGAUCCAGUUUCCCCUGCACAUUUAAAACUAAUCUAAGUCUACUUUCAAAAAACCUUAUAACUGUGUGAAGUAAUGCAAGUAAUUUAUACAGACAAAAUGAUCCUAAUUUCUCCUUUAUAUCAGUUGUCAUGUGUUUUAUCAGCAUAUAUACAUUAGUUAUUAUACUCAUAAACAUUCACGACCGAAAACAUUGUUGCUAUUAUUACUUUGAACUAACCUUAUCUGUUCGGUAAAUUAAGUACAAGAAUGGUAAUUUUUUUAAAAAAAUUCAGUCACUUAUUCUUUUUCUAAUAAUCUUCUUUACAUAGUUCUGAGUCUUUGACCAAUAUAAUUUGACUUCUUUCUGAAAAUCUUCUUUUAACAAUUUUUGCAAGACAGGUCUUUAGUUUGCCUGGAAAAGUAAUUUCAUAGUGAACAGAAUUCUACCUUGUUUUUUUUUCUCUUGACACUUUAAAUAUUUCACUGUCACUCUCUUCUUCCUUGUGUUUAUUGUUCCUUAGGAACAUGCAGAUAUCAUUCUUAUUUUUGCUUUUCUAUAGGUAAGAAUUUUCUUCCAUCUUCUUUUAAUAGUUUUUCUUUAAAUUUGAUUUUCUGCACACUUACAUGCUGCCUAUGUAUAUAUUUUUGUUUGUUUUAUUUUGCUUUUAUUCUGCAUUAUAUUUUCUGGUCUUCAGCCUCACUGAAUUGGUAGUUUAAUGUCUGAUCAUAUUUGCCUCCAGAAAGUCAUUUAUAGUUUUUCUACCAUACCUUUGUUUUUAAAGCUUAAUUGAUAUUUAUGGAGUAUCAUGUGAUGUUUCAAUACACGUACAUAGAGUAAUGAUCAAAUCAGUGUAAUUAGCAUACCUCUGGUUCUUGUGAAGAUUUCGGUCUGCUUUCUAUGGAAAUUUCUGCUCCAGUAGGUUGUGAUAUUAUGUAUCUGCCUGUCUGUUUUCUCAGUUUUGAGGCGUGGUGGUCUGCAUUGUAACCUCACUUCCCUGAUAGAUCUAAGUUGUGUUGUUGAUUUUUCAGCCUUUACUUCUGUUAGGAACAACUGACAACUUUCAAAUUCCUUACAUAUCAGAACUGGACCUAAGAUUUUUAAAAACAGUUUUUCCCCUGUAGAUUGUGAUCUUCUUUGGCUCAAAUUAAAUCAAGAAUAGUCAAUAUAACACUUCCCAGACUCAGAUUAUUUCCAAUAACUAGCUUCUCAUUGAUUAAAAAUGUGUAAAUCAAUUGCAUUUUCAUGUUGCUUUUUAAUUGAAGAAAAUGAUGUAUAGUUAUAGUGUUUAGGGAUGGUAAUAUAUUUGAUAUCAAGUCCACAGUCUUCCUACAAGAGUGUUUUUUAGAUAUAUUUUGAAAGCCAUAACUAUCUUUAAUAAAAUUUGAUUGUAUCAAUAAUUUACGUUUAGUUAGUGAUACUUUUAAGUAAUUAAAAAGCACCUAAAAUUUGUUAGAAUUAAUAGGAGAGACAGAAUGCCAAUAGUCAUCUAGAUGGGGGCUCUGGUAGGGUAGUAGUAUCAAUUGCUGCUAUAAUAUAUAGGGGGGGGAAAAUUUCAAAAACACAACAGUUUCACCAAGAAGAAAGAAACGCAAGCAGUAUGAAAAGACAAGGAAAGAAAGGACUACAAGCAAUGCAGGUCAACUCAACUUUAGAAGAGGUAACAGCUGCAGCAGAUGGAAUGUCAGAUAAAGAAUUCAGGAUAUAUAUGCUUCAGAUGAUCUGGAGUAUCAAGGAAGACAUUAGACAGCAAAAUCAGACAAUGAAAGAUCACUUCGACAAGGAAUUACACAAACAAAUCCAGGAAGCAAAGGAUCAACUAUACAGGGAGAUAGAGGUUAUAAAAAAACAAACAAACAGAAAUCCUAGAAAUGCAGGAAGCAAUAAACCAACUUAAAAACUCAAUGGAGUAUACUACCAGCAGAGUAGAACACUUAGAAGAUAGAACAACAGACAAUGAAGACAAAGUAUUUCAACUUGAAAAGAACAUAGACAGCUCAGCAAGACUGUUAAGAAACCAUGAACAGAACAUCCAAGAAAUAUGGGAUAACAUUAAGAGACCAAACUUAAGAGUCAUUGGGAUACAGGAAGGUAUAGAACUCCAUACCAAAGGAAUGAGCAAUUUAUUCAAUGAAAUAAUACGAGAAAACUUCCCAGACUUGAAGAAUGAGACAGAAUCCCAAAUUCUAGAAGCCUACAGGACGCCGAAUGUGCAAAAUUAUAAGAGAUCCACACCUAGACACAUUAUAAUGAAGAUGCCCAACAUACAGAAUAAGGAGAGAAUUUUAAAAGCUACAAGAGAAAGGAAGCAGAUUACAUUUAGGGGCAAGCCAAUCAGGAUAACAGCUGAUCUUUCAACACAGACUCUGAAAGCUAGAAGAUCCUGGAAUAACAUAUUUCAAACACUGAAAGAAAAUGGGUUCCAACCAAGAAUUGUGUAUCCAGCGAAAUUAAGCUUCAGGAUGGAAGAUGAAAUUAAAACCUUCCACGAUAAACAAAAGUUUAAAGAAUUCGCAGCUAGAAAACCAUCUCUUCAAAACAUCCUCGGCAAAACAUUACAGGAAGAGGAAAUGGAAAAUAACAAUGAAAACCAACAGUGGGAGGUAGGACAGUAAAGGGGGGGGGGGACUAAUCAAAGAGGAAAACAAACCAUGUUUAGUAACAUAAAUAAACAAAUAUGGCUGGAAGAACAACCCAUAUCUCAAUAAUAACCCUAAAUGUUAAUGGCUUAAACUCACCAAUUAAGAGACACAGGCUAGUAGAAUGGAUCACAAUACAAGACCCAACAAUAUGCUGCCUACAGGAGACGCAUUUGAUAGGAAAAGACAUACAUAGGCUGAAGGUGAAAGGUUGGGAAAAAUCAUAUCACUCAUAUGGACUUCGGAAACAAGCAGGAGUGUCCAUACUCAUAUCAAAUAAAAUAGAUUUCAAGCCAAAGUUAAUCAAAAGGGAUAAAGAGGGACACUACAUACUGCUUAAGGGAACCAUACACCAACAAGACAUAACAAUCAUAAAUAUUUAUGCCCCAAACAAUGGUGCAGCUAUGUUCAUCAAACAAACUCUUCUCAAGUUCAAGAGUCUAAUAGACCACCAUACAAUAAUCAUGGGAGACUUCAACACACCUCUCUCGCCACUGGACAGAUCUUCCAAACAAAAGUUGAAUAAGGAAACUAUAGAACUCAAUAACACAAUUAAUAACCUAGACUUAAUUGACAUAUAUAGAAUAUACCACCCAACAUCAAGCAGUUACACUUUUUUCUCAGCAGCACAUGGAUCCUUCUCAAAAAUAGAUCAUAUAUUAUGUCACAGGGCAACUCUUAGACAAUAUAAAGGAGUAGAGAUAAUACCAUGCAUCUUAUCUGAUCAUAAUGGAAUGAAACUGAAAAUCAACGAUAAAAGAAGGAAGGAAAAAGCAUACAUCACUUGGAGAAUGAACAAUAGGUUACUGAAUGAUCAAUGGGUUAUAGAAGACAUCAAGGAGGAAAUUAAAAAAUUCUUAGAGAUUAAUGAAAACACAGACACAACAUAUCGGAAUAUAUGGGACACAUUGAAAGCAGUUCUAAGAGGAAAAUUCAUUGCUUGGAGUUCAUUCCUUAAAAAAAGAAAAAACCAACAAAUAAAUGAUCUCAUACUUCAUCUCAAAAUCCUAGAAAAAGAAGAGCAAAACAACAGCAAAAGAAGUAGAAGGCAAGAAAUAAUUAAAAUCAGCUCUGAUUUUAAUUAUUUCUUNNNNNNNNNNNNNNNNNNNNNNNNNNNNNNNNNNNNNNNNNNNNNNNNNNNNNNNNNNNNNNNNNNNNNNNNNNNNNNNNNNNNNNNNNNNNNNNNNNNNNNNNNNNNNNNNNNNNNNNNNNNNNNNNNNNNNNNNNNNNNNNNNNNNNNNNNNNNNNNNNNNNNNNNNNNNNNNNNNNNNNNNNNNNNNNNNNNNNNNNNNNNNNNNNNNNNNNNNNNNNNNNNNNNNNNNNNNNNNNNNNNNNNNNNNNNNNNNNNNNNNNNNNNNNNNNNNNNNNNNNNNNNNNNNNNNNNNNNNNNNNNNNNNNNNNNNNNNNNNNNNNNNNNNNNNNNNNNNNNNNNNNNNNNNNNNNNNNNNNNNNNNNNNNNNNNNNNNNNNNNNNNNNNNNNNNNNNNNNNNNNNNNNNNNNNNNNNNNNNNNNNNNNNNNNNNNNNNNNNNNNNNNNNNNNNNNNNNNNNNNNNNNNNNNNNNNNNNNNNNNNNNNNNNNNNNNNNNNNNNNNNNNNNNNNNNNNNNNNNNNNNNNNNNNNNNNNNNNNNNNNNNNNNNNNNNNNNNNNNNNNNNNNNNNNNNNNNNNNNNNNNNNNNNNNNNNNNNNNNNNNNNNNNNNNNNNNNNNNNNNNNNNNNNNNNNNNNNNNNNNNNNNNNNNNNNNNNNNNNNNNNNNNNNNNNNNNNNNNNNNNNNNNNNNNNNNNNNNNNNNNNNNNNNNNNNNNNNNNNNNNNNNNNNNNNNNNNNNNNNNNNNNNNNNNNNNNNNNNNNNNNNNNNNNNNNNNNNNNNNNNNNNNNNNNNNNNNNNNNNNNNNNNNNNNNNNNNNNNNNNNNNNNNNNNNNNNNNNNNNNNNNNNNNAAAUAAUACAAGGGGGAAAAAUGAAUGACAGUAGAGGGGGUAGAGAGAGAAGAGGGGAGGGGAGGGGAGGGGAGGGGGGAUAGUAGAGGAUAGGAAAGGUAGCAGAACACGACAGUCACUAGUAUGGCAAUAUGUAAAUCAAUGGAUGUGUAAUUGAUGUGAUUCUGCAAUCUGUAUAUGGGCUAAAAAUGGGAGUUCAUAACCCACUUGAAGCAAAGUGUAAAAGAUGAUAUAUCAAGAACUAUGUAAUGUUUUGAACAACCAACAAUAAAAAAAAAAGAAAAUCAUUCUGUUUAAUUAACGAAAAUUUAUAUUAUCAAAAAUUUCCAAGUAGGAUUAAGAAAAUAAAAGCAUAAUUUAGAAAUUAAAAGUUUAGAAAUAUAAGUUAAUAAACUUAAUACUUAGGAUAAACAAUAGAUUAGACACUAUUAAAAUAAGAAUAAUUAAUUAGAAAAGCGAUCAAAAAAAAUUAUCAAUUAAAACAGAAACACAAUGAAGUGAAAUUUGAAAGAAAAUUUAAGAAAUAUGGAAGAGAGGUUGAUAAUAUAUUUAACUGGAAAUACAGAGAGAAAAUAGAGGACAUUUUAUAAGCAGAAAACAAAGUGAUUUUAUCUAAGCACUUCUCAGAAUUAAUGAAAAAAAAAGUGACCUUAAAUGUAGGUGAAAUAGUACUGGCAGUGCUUUCCUAUAAAAUGAGAAGUUGGGACUAAAUAUUUAUCUUAGCUGCAUAUGGUAUUGUUCCAAAUACUAUAUUUCUCAUGCAAUGGCUAAUGAAGUUAUGAUAGAAAGUGUUUGCUUAGCAACCAUUGUCAAAUGACCAUAAUCUCUCUCUCCCUCUUUUUUUUUUUUUAUCAUUUCUAUGGCCAGUGAAGACACAAGCAAUACUUAGGACUUUAUGGAGAACAAAUGAAAUAAUGUAUAUGAAUGCAAUUUAAAAUUGUAAAGCAUAUGUUAUUUGUCGAAGUAGUAGUAAUAGUAUAUUAGCAAUUGUAAGGGCAAUAGUGAUAUCCUUUCUUUGAAAUAAUUCUAAAUUGUACAUUAACUUAAGUUGAGCUGGUCUUCUGUGAUACAUAAGAAUCCCCAUGCCCACUUAUGCAUGUUCAGUGGGACUACCUACUGUCACAGCAGUAUCAGAACAUUUUGAGACUUUUAAUUUAUUCAUUGUAUAUUUAUUCAGCAAAGACUUCAUACACUAGACUAGGAAGUGGGAAGACUGACAAAAAUAUUUAAGUAUGGUCUUUGUCCUUGAAAAUUUCCAGUCUGGUAAGGGAGAUUGAGCUAAUAUGUUAUAGUUCUGAAAGUUCUUAUGCAACUCAGAUUUUUCUUUUGCUUCUUCUGACUUUUCACCUACCACUCUGUCUUCUGUCCUUUUCCUGGUGUUCAUCUCUUAACAUGAAGGUCAGGUAUCAUUUUUUGACCUGAAGUCUUCCCUUAGUACUCUACCCCCCAUAUGGGGUUAAGUAUCUUCUACUCAUUUAUCAGAAUAUCCACUGUGUAUGUCUAUUAUUGCUCAUUGUUUUAUAAUCAUAUGUACAUAACCAUCACUAUACUCAGUUAUUUGAGGACUGGAAUGCUACCUUAUUCAUUUUUUGUUCCAUUGUUUGUUGUAGGACCUGGAAUAUAGUAGUAACUCAGUAAAUAAUAUUUACUGAAAAAAAUAAAAAAGAAAAAAAUGUGGCUUGAGAGGGAAUAUACCUACUGAGAAAUGAUAUCAGAAUAAGAGCAGAAUUCAUAGUCUAACAAUAGAAACCAAAAACUAUAGGAUAAUAUACUAAAUAUUUUGAGUUACCAUAUAUCUUAAACUAGCUAAAUCUUAAUAUUUUAAGUAUGCAUGAUAAAAUUAAGAGUAUCUCCUAAAGGAUUAAAAUAGCAUGUGAUUUCUAAAUAAAUUGGUUAGAAAGUGGAAUUAAAAAUCAAUCCCAAAGAAUGCAAAAAUAUCACAGACAACCAGGAUACUUAGAAUACAUAUAAGACUAUGGUCGAAAUAAUGCCAUAAACACAAAUAUACUAAAUUCAUUAAGAAUCAGAGAUGACAUGAAAGAAAUCAAAUAGCAGAAGAAUGCUUAUGGUAUGGGGAGAUAUAUAUAUAUAUAUAUAUAUAUAUAUAUUCAUAAACAUGUAAAGAAGGCUCUUUGUUAUAGGGAUUGUACAGUUUCAAUAAAAUCAAGAAAUAUCAGAAUGAUGUCUUUAAUUAAGAAGUAAACUGGGUGGUUGAUACAGGAUACUCAGUAGUUAAUUCUUCAUGUCUUUCAAAGAACUGAAAAACAUACAUUUAUUUUGGAGAAAACUCAGAUUAGAUUUUAAUUUGCUUUUAAAUUAAGACAUUAUGGCAUUCAAUAAUAAUGCUUGUGAUAAUUUUGACUCUCAGAAAACCGUGUUGGCAUUGCCUUAUUUCUCUUGUAUGCAUUUUAGUUUUUAAACCACCUGCUGCUUUCAUGCUUGAUGUACUAUCUUCAAAUCAUUAAAAGAUUGCAGGAGUAAAGAAACCUAGUUUUUAUAAGUGGCAUCUUAGAAGUUGAGCCUUAGAUCUGAAGGAUGAGGAAUGACUUCAGCUGUGGGAAAACUGGAAUGUAGGAAAACAUUUAAGCCAGUAUCUUGUUACAAGAUUUUUUAAAAAAAUAUCCCUACUGCUCAUUCAAGGGAUGCUUUUUUAGGGAAUACAAAGAGUAGAAUGAAUUCCCCUAUUUUCCCAGUUUCUAACCUGGCAAUCUGCACCAUCUGUAUUAAAUGACUCUAUUUGCCCAAUGGAGCAAUAGAGUUUGUUCUAUUAGCCUUUGUGAGAUAAAUGACUUGCUACAAUUCUUCAGUUUAACUAACAUGAAAUUUCCACCAUCCUGCCAGUGCUUAGUCUAGGUUUGAGUGUUGACAGAAUGUACACCAACAUCAUUGCAAAGACAGACACAUAACACCCAAUCAAUGAUUCUCCUUUCCUCUCCGUUUUUUCUUUCUUUCUUCUGAAAUAUAUCCUUUCAUUUUUUGGACACUGUUGGAACAAAUGGAUUUUUAAAUAAUUAUUUUUUUCCUGGUAAUUUUGAAGAAUGACAUAAAUAUUCACAGAAGAUGUUACUUCAUUAUUUGUCCUGCAAACACAAGAAUAUAUGAUUGGAAUAAUAAGGUUAUAAUUAGCUACUAUAAUCUCAUAAUAAGAAAAGUUUUAGAUAUAAUGUCUUCUUAUGUAAAACUAGUGCAUGUAUCUUAGAGAAAAAUUACACAUAUAAAAAAUAGUUGGGCAUGGUUGUGCAAGCCUGUAAUCACAGCAACUCAGAGGCUGAGGUAGGAGAUCACAAAUGAGUGAGGCCAGUCUCAGCAACUUAGCAAGGUCCUAAGUAACUUAGCAAGACCCUGUCUCAAAAUAACAAAUGACAGAAAGGGUUGGGGAUGUGGCUCAGUGAUUAAGCACUCUGGGUUCAAUCCUGGUACCAAAACAAACAAACAAACAAACAAAUAAUACCUAAUACCACUAUCUAAAUAUAACUACUAAUGAUCCCCAUUGUACAUGCACAUGCACACUCAAAAAUGUCUACCAGUAUCUAUGUGUUCCACGUUUAUUUGUAAUCUUUAUUUUUUUUAUUAUCAACAAUAUUUUGAGCACUUUUAUGAAAUCUACCAAUCUAUUAGUUAUUUAUAGCAGGAAUUGAGCUCAGGAAUGCUUUAUCACUGAACCACAUCCCAAGUUGUUUUUAUGUUUUAAUUUGGCACAGGGUCUUGAAAAGUUGCUUAGGGCCUCGCUAAGUUGCUGAGGCUGGCUUUGAACUUGUGAUUCUCCUGCCUCAGCCUCCUGAGCCACUGGGAUUACAGGCGUGCACCACCACCGAUCUACUAUGAAACAAUAUAGAAUGAUUUUCUUGAGUAGGUCUAUAAAUGCAGAUAUAAGCUGCCAGGUCUAUAAAUGCAGAUACAAGCAAUCAUAGAGCAGAAUUUAAAUUUGUCUGUAAGAUUAAAAUAUUUAUGCCUAUCAAUUAUAAUUUUAGUAUUAGGAGUAAGAAUAUAAAAUUGCAAGUCAGCACAGAAUAUUUCAUAGUUCUCUUGAAAUUACAAGAUAAAGGGAAUUUACAAGAUAAGGGAAUCUUACUAUUGUUUCAAAAUUGUAAGUUGUGUGUACAUUUGAAUGUAAAAAUUUUGUGUUUCAACUUUGAAAUAAGAUGCUUUCAUUGUAAGAAUCUGAUCCACACAUGAGUAUCUGCCAGAGUUGGUUGGGGACAUUCCGUGGCCUCUCAGGUUGUCUUUACAUCUUAUUUUUUCUUUAGGGAUUUUUUGUUAUAUUUUUUAGGCACACUUAACACUGUUUCAAAAGAGUCAGUUUUAUUCAUUGCUUAUAUCCUAUCCUAAAAAUUUUCAACAUUUUUAGUAUUCAGAAUAGGGUUAAUGAAAAUCCAUCAGGAUAUUUUGAAGUUCAUAUAUAAUAAUAAUGCUGUAAUGAUUUACCUUACAAAUGAUGCAUAUUUUUAAGACUGAUUUUUUAAAAAAUAAAAGAUAAAAAAUAAGACAGAGGCAUUAUAAGACUAUUUUCCUGAAGAAGUACUAGUACAUGGAUUGCCAAAUUGAAUCCAAUCUCCUUUUAAGGGUGGUAAUCAAUAGUCAAAGAAAAGCUGAGGGGGAUUUGAGGAUUUUUAUAUUCAAGUUUCUAACACUUUCUUUAACAAAAUAGGGAUCUUAGUAAAUCAGUUGCAGAACAAAGAAAUCCAGGAAAACUGACAUGCAGUAUGAAUUAUUUUGGAGAUUAUUGAAAAAUAAUUUUUUCCUUUUUGCUUUCUCUUCACUUUCUUGAAAAUUUCAGAGUAACCAAAUUUUUCUUCCCAAUUUUUUCCAUUUUUAGAAAUUAAAAGGAUUUAAUUUAAAAUAUGCAGUUUUCAGCUAUAUUUAGUAAAGAAUGUUAUUGUAAUUUUUUUCCAAAAAUAAAUACUUCUUUGGUGAAAUCAAAUCAACAAGAGAAUUCUGGUACAUCUAUAACAUGUUUUUAUACUAAAUCAAGACUACUUGUUCAGUGGAUUAGAUAGAGGGAAACGAACGGGAAAAGGGGGGUAUGGGGGAAAGACAGUGGAAUGAAUCUAAUAUAACUUUGCUAUGUAUGUAUAUAUAUACACCACAAUGAAUCUCAAUAUCAUGUACAUCCACAAGACUGAAAUCCUAAUUAGAAUAAGUUAUACUCCAUGUUUGUAUAAAUAUUUCAAAAUUGACUCUACUGUGAUGUAUAACUAAAAAGAACUAAUAAAAAUAAAUAAAAAUUUAAAAAGACUACUAAUCUAAGAAUAUUUUGCAUAUUUCAUAUUUUAAAAAUAUUUCGACUUAAUCAUUUUGGUCAAUAAAUCAUCUCUUUGGGAUUAUAUUUCAAACAAUUAAUAAUUUCAAACGAUUAUUAAAGCACUUGGCAAUCAGAAAAAAAUGCUAAUGAAACAGAAAAUGCAGGAUUUUCUUGUUUGUAUUCAAUUUUGGCUUAAACUUUGCCUCAUGGUUUUCUGAGUUCUCAGAGUGUGACUAGUAGAGAAUUGAGGGUCUUCUAGGAGAGAAAAACAUCUGAUUUUGAGGUAAACACUCUUGGAUUAAAAUCAUUGCUUUCAUGAUUAAUAGUGUAUGACCUUGGGAAAAGAACUCCCUUAUCCCCAGCAUUCCCAUGUAUAAAACAAUAGUGAUAGUAGUAAUAGUAUCAUUCUCUCCAAGAACUGAAUCAUAUAACUCAAGAAACACAACAGAUAACCCUAUGGUAUCAAUUUAAUAGAUAACCUUGCAUAGAUAUUUCUGUAGAUAUUCUUGCUUACACAGGUGUUAAUUGUCAAGAUCUGAAUUGCUCACAUGACUCCUAGGUGUCUGCCCCUGCAGCACAGACAAAGGGAGAAUUAUUGAUCUUCAUGACUUACUGGCUUAGAUCAGGUCAAUGUUUUCCCAGAAUCUGGGAAGAUUUUCUUGAGUGGUCUAGAAUUUAGCUUUCUAUCUAUCUUAAGUAUAUUUAAGUGAAUUACCUUGCUCUAGUAAUAGUCAUUACUGACUGAUAGACUGAUUUACUCAUGAGAAUUCUAAACAAAAUAAGCUCUGUUAUUUUAUCAGCAAGGUAUUUUCUGGAUAUGUUCUAUUAAUGCUGCUGUUAAUCUCAAGAUAUCACUAUUAGUAAUGCUUGAUUGAUAGUAAAAAUGAGGAGCAACCUUUAUGCUUCUUAGAUUUAGAUCCUUUGAUCUCACAAUCCACAAAUAUAAGCAUAAUUAGAAUAUUUAGUAGUAUUGUGUUUGAUAGAAAAUGCAACUGAACUAUGGACUCAUUAAAAUGUUUAAGUUUGCACAAAAUGUCAUUAGUAGAAUUGGGAUUUAAAUGUAGACUUUUAUCCCAAAUACUGUGCUUUUUUUUUUCAUUAUACUAUCAUUCUUUUUUAAUUUUUUUUUUUAUUUUUUUAGUUGUAGAUGGACACAGUGCCUUUAUUUAUUUAUUUUUAUGUGGUGCUAAGAAUUGAACCAAGUGCCUCACAUGUGCCAGGCAGGUGCUCUGCCACUGAGUCACAACCCUACCCCUUAUAUUGUCAUUCUUUAGUUACCAAAAGGUUCUAACCAGUGUUUGUUGAAUACCAACUAUGUUAUUCGUAUUGUAUUAUGCAAAGGAAAUUCAAGGUGAACAAGUCAAACCUUAUCCAAUCUUAGAGUCUUGUGGCUUCGGAUCAUAGUUAUGUUAGUUAUGUUAGUUGCCUGGGAGACAGGGGCUCUUAUAUCAGCCCCUAAAUCCUGAAACUGAAAGACAGUUUUGCUAGAACUCUCAAUGCUUUAAGUGCUUAAUAUGCCCAAAGGUCCUUGCAAAUAAAACCUAUGUAAUCUGAAAACAAAAUAUAAAAACAAAACCACAAGGACCUAGCCAGUGAAGAAUAACAGGACACUUCGAGAAGGAAGUUGAAACUUAUAAGAGGGAAUUGACACUGGGUGAAUUUCUCUUUUAUUGUGGAUUUGGGCUAGAGGGUAGUCUGAAACUGUCACUGGCUCAGAUGGCUAAAACUGCUAAAGUAGCUUCACAGUCUUUGUGACUUCAAGAAUAGGAUAGUGAAGGGAGCGGGGCACAACUAUCACAGGAGAGUGAGAAUCUAAUGUUGGAAAAGAGAGGAGAUGCCCCUUUCUGUGUAUAAAUACUCCUGAGUCUGUGGCUGACUCCUGAACCACACAUGCUCAGAGCAGGUUCCAGGAAGCCAAUUGAAUUUUGAAAGAAAAUGAUUUGGAGCUGCUAUCUGAGAUGGAGUUUGUGGUUGGGAGUCCAACCAAAUUAAUUGCUUUCUGAGACUCAUUAAUUGCUUUAAUAUAGACUGGAGAACUAUAAUGAAGUCCUUAUAUUCCAUAAUAUAAUGUUAUGAUUUGGAUGUGAGGUGUUCCCCAAAAGCUCACGUGUGGAACAGUGCAAGAAGUUCCAGAGGAGACAUAAUUGGAUUGUGAGAGUCUUAACCCAAUUAGUGAAUUAAUCUCUGAUGAGAUUAACUGGGUGGUAACUAGAGGCAGGUGGGGUGUGGCUAGAGGAAAUAGUUAAUUGGGGGUGUGGCUUUGGGUUAUAUAUUUUGUAUCUGAAGCUUUAGUCUCUCUGCUUCUUGUUCACCAUGAUGUGAGCUGCUUCCCUCUGCCUCACAUUCCGCCAUGAUGUUCUGCCAGCCUCACCUUGAGCCCUCAAGGAAUGGUGCCGGCUUUCUAUGUACUAAGACCAAUGAAACCAUAAGCCCUCAAAUAAACUUUAUCUCCCCUACAUUUGUACUGGUCAGGUCCUUUAGUCCCAGCAACGAAAAAGCUGACAGAAACAUAUACCAUUCACAAUGUAUGGAAUCUAAUUCUAAAUUGCACAUUGUUCAACCUAAUGGAUGAUCACCAUCUUUUAUCUGUGCUAUGUAUUUGUAAAUUCUUCAUGCAACCUAGUGGAUGAUCACCAUCUUUUAUCUGUGCUAUGUAUUUGUAAAUUCUUCAUGUUUUUUUAAACACUCUACUUGUUAGUCCAUUUGCCCAUUCCACUUUUCCACAAGUUCAACUUCAGUUUCUUCUUUAAAUUUGUACUUGAUGUCACACUUUAGAAUCAUUAGCACCUCGUACAGGGUUUAGCAUAAAGGAAACACUCAGAAAAAGUUUUUUUUUUUUUUUUACUUAAAUACUGAGUAAUAAAUUUAAGGUCCUUUGCAGCUUCCUAUAUAAUACCACAUAACUAUUUUCUGUGAGCAUCUUAUAAGGAAAUGUGGUUUAGUGAUUUCUUUUUUACUUCCGCUAAUGAUGUAUAAACACAAGUAAUGGUAUCACUUACCCAGAUUUUGGCCAGUCUAUUUGUGGGUGUUUUCUUCCUCUCUGGGUUCAACAUAGCCUCAGUGUCCUUGAAUAUGAAAUCCUAACAUAACUUAAGUUCCUCUUACUUUCUCUACAUACUGUUAUGUUAGCUAAUAAGGUGCACACAUGCUGUACAAUUAAUUUUGUGCCAAUAAAUGUACAUUUCCUUCUAGGUAUAGUCUUAAUCUUGCAUCAGAAAGGUAAAACCUGAAUUAAUAAGUUUGCUGAGGAACCACUUCAGAUAUUUUUUUCCAUAAAAUAAUUUUAUCUUAUUAAAUAUAGAGCUAAAUAUAUGAUUAUUCCCUAAACUGAAAGGUUUAGUUUACUGUUUAUAUGUCAUCAUGAAAUUGUUUUUAGUCAUGAAAUUUAAUUUUCUAAUUUCAUUCUAGUUUUCUUUGCAAAGGAGAUAAAUAAUAUAAGUAAAUUUUAUGCAGAUGGGGACAUGUUUUUGUCUGAAAGAAAAUAAAUCCCAAUAUUUAUGAACUUGUAUGAAAUAAGCAAAAAUAAAAUGAAGAUAAAAUGUAAUACCUAAGAUAAAAGAUAUCUCCAAUUGCUAGCUCUCAUCAUAUUAUUAACUCAUUAUAAACCCUUCAAAUUUGUAAUAUGAAUUUUCUGAAUUAUCUCAGUAUUUCAGGAACCAUUUCAGUCAACUCACAAUGAGACCAGUAGUGAUUCAUUUUUAUGUAGAUAGCUGUACAUAUCUCUUUUCUUACUGGCACAACACUGACCUUAGGGGAAAAGUGGACAUUUAAUGAAAAUAACACAUAUUUCCAAGGGUUCUAGAAUCUUCACUAAAAUAUCAUUUCUAUAAAAAAAUACAACUUAUCCCUAAAAUAAUCCAAUCAGAGGUAUUUGAACUUACCUGACAUCUAUCAUCUCUUCUGAUGUGUGACGUCAUGAAUUCAAAGCUUUUGUACUUCAGUUUGUCAAAGAAAUGAAGUUAAAUCUCGAAUUGAUGAACUAUAUGAAAUACACCAUUCCUUAAUUUCCUGGACAUUUAGUCCUAGGAAUCUUUGUACAAAAAACAAAACAAAACAAAACAAAAACACUUAAAAAAGGACUUUUAUGUAUUCUCCAGUAUGAAAGAAAACUCCAUACUUGAUCUUUGAUCAUAAUUGCAAUAUUUUGGACUUACAAUAUUUAGUUUUCAAAAGAUUAUUUAAACACUAUCUCAGUUGAUCCUCACAACAAGUCAACCAGAUAGAUAACACAGAUAUAAUUAUGGAAAUUACCCUCAGAGAAAUAAUGUUUGUAAAAUUAUAUGAAAUUCAUCAGAAUAGAAGCCUAAACAAUUUAUUUUUUUAAAUUCACUUUAUUCUUUCCUCAAAAUAUUUUGUAAUAGGGUAAGGAGCUAAUGAAAAAAAUUUUUUUUUAAAAAAGCAUUUGCUCACUGAGACUAAUAAUAAAAUUAAAAUUGAUUUUGUAAUAUUCUUAAUUAACUAAUUCAAUGACUAAUACUCCCAUUGAAAUUAGAUAGGUGUGAUCUUUGUCAUCAGACUUUCUAAAGAGCAAAUUCAUUAGUAAUUAAACCAUAGCAUGAAAUUAAUUUUAAAUACCCCACGUCCUGUCUAGAAAAGCCACCUCACCAAUUGUAAUUUAAAUAAAAUCCUUUUGUUGGUCAUAAUUCCUUGCAGCAGCAGAGAAACCUUGACUUCUUAUCCAAUUUGGUAAUGGACAAUUUAUUUUGGUUAGUAAUUAGGUGAUUGCUUGGGACAUCCUUCCCAAACAAUAGGAGUUUAUGUGGCCCACAAAGUAUUGUUUUGGUCUGGUUUGUGAAUUAGCUUCUUUAAUCAAUCUGAUGUAGUAGUUAAACAAUGGUUCAUAUAGAAGACUUUUAACAGGGAACAAAAUGAAUAUGAGUUUAUAUUUCCUCAUAUCUCAGCAAGAUCAAAGGACUCAAAGUGGUCCCUGUGCAAGCACUCUGUCCAGGUUUCUGAUUCUGCCUCCUGCUGCUCUGAGUUGUAGCUAUUCCCAAAUGAGUUGUGGUCUUCCUUAGCCUCAGCCUUCACACGUGCUGUAUACCCUGUCUAAAACAGACUUUUUUUUUUUCUCUUUUACUCCUGGUGAUCUUCUACUCAGCCUUUAAAACUCACAUCAUGUCUCCUUCAUCCAUUGAGUCAUUCCUGCGUUUCUGGAGUUGUUACACGCAUCCUCUCUGUCUUCACCUAAGUCUGUCAUAAGCUGGCAUUUAUCACAUCCUUGAGAUGGUAGCUUUGCCCUUUAGUCUUUUACACUGGAUUCUGAACCUUUAGAUAUUGGGGGCAUGCACUGGCAUCAAAGGGCAGGGCUAAAUCCUAGUGCAGCACUUACUAGCCAAAUGGGCACAGACAAGUAAAGAAAUCACUCAUCUGUACACUGAGGCUAAUAGUAGUAGGUAUUUAGUUAAUCAGGUAUUUAAUGGAUUAAAUGAAUAAAACUCUUAGAAAAGCUUCUGGCAUGUAUUAUGAAUUCAUAUUAGAUGAAUUCAAUGUUAGAUACAAAAAUAAUUCAUCUUUCUGCCUCCAAAUGAACAUAGUACCUGAAACAUAUUGGCUUUCUAAUAACAAGUGAUUUUUUUUUUUCUUUUUAUACCUGGGGUUGAACCCAGUAGCACUUAGCCACUGAGCCACAUACCCAACCUUUCUUUUGUAAUUUUUCAUUUGUUCUUUUUAGUUAUAUGUGAUAGUAGAAUGUAUUUUGACAUACAUAUAUGGAGUAUGACUCCUAUUUUUCUGGUUGUACAUGAUGUGGAGUUACACUGAUCCUGUAUUCAUAUAAGAAUAUAGGAAAGUUAUGACUGAUUCAUUCUACUGUCUUUUCUGCUCCCAACCCUCCUCCCUUCCCUUCAUUUCUCUUUGUCUAAUCCAGUGGACUUCUAUUCUUCCCUGUUUUAUAUUUUCUUUAGAGACAGAGUCUCACUAAGUUACCUCCUAGGACCUCGCUAAAUUCCUGAGGCUGGCUUUGAACUAGUGGUCCUCCUGCCUCAGCCUCCCAAGCCACUGGGAUUACAGGAGUGUGCUGCACAUUAAGCUAAUAAUGGGUGAUUUUAAAGUUCACUUAUAUGAAAAAUCUGAAGGUAACUCUAAACAAGAGUCAUCUUGUUGUUAUACUCAAAAGGAAAGAUAAAUCUUUACUAAAGCUUAUAGUUAUUAAUGCAUGAAAAACAAUGUGAUUUUUGUAAAAAAUGAGGGACAUAUUAAGUGAGAUAUCAAUUCUUCCUAAACUCACAAAUUCUUUUAUUUGAGCAAUAAACAAAUAAAGUGGAAUAACAAACAGGAUUUAGCUUCUAAGAUUUAAAAAUUUACAUUUAAACUAUAAAAAACAAAGGUAAUUACUGAGAUGUUGUGUUAUGAAUCAACAUUUGGUCAUCGGAACAGAUAUUUUCUUUUAAAUCAAAUUAUAAACUUAACAUAAUUCAUUGCAAAUAUUGUGAUAGUAGGUCUUCUCCAUAUGAAAUUUAUAUGGAAAGAUUAACAGAUAAAUUAUAUGCAAAAUAUCUUUAAAAUAGAGGAAUGGGUGACUUGCUCUGUUAUAUCUCAUCAUACAAUUAAAAUAGUGGAACCAAAACACAUCACAUCUCUAAGGUUGAUAAGUUGGAAUUUCUGAGCAUCAAAGAAAAUAUAGGUAGAUAAAUUUUUCUAGAUAAUGAGGUUAGCUACACAGUUAGAAAAAUAGGGAUGCCUUAUGCCAUUUGCUAAAAUAAAAUAUAGGUACUCAAAGAAAUAUAAGGUAAAGGAAGAAAUAAAAGUACCAGAAGAAAAAUGAAGAUGACUCUAUCUGAUCAUAAGGAGGGUUGUUGUAGGCGUAAACUGAAAGAAAAUAAAUAAUUCACAAAAUUGAUAGAGCAAAAACAUGAACAUUGUGAUAUACCUAGUGGGCAGAGCUCUAAUUCUGAAAAAGGAACAUCUGGUUUGAAAAAGCUUUUCUACCAUGAGAAGUGAUACUCCAUGGAUGUAUGAUAUGUUGAAAUGCAUUCUACUGUCAUGUAUAACUAAUUAGAGUAAUUUUUUUUAAAAAAAGCUUUCUGCUGCUAUGUAUAAGCCUCAGGCAGGGCAUUUAACUUUUAUAUGCCUCAAUUUUCUAAUCCAUAAAAUACUUAGCAAUAGCAUUGUUACUAGAAGUAUACAAUGAACACCACAUGAUGGCUUUUGUGGGGAGAAAAGAGGUCAUUAAAUACUUGGUACAGUGAUAAAGCAAAUAGAAAAGGAGAAAUAUUUAAAAUGUAUGAUAUACAACGAUUUUACACCAUUAAUAAAUAAAUGAUUUCUUACACCUUUACAAUAAAAAGAUGAAUCACGAGUAUGGAUUUCAAACAAUAAACAACUGAUGACAAACUAUAGUCAGAGAUUAAGGUUGUUCCUAAUUAUUAGAAUCAAGUGUGCGUCUUCAUUUUUAAUUGUUCAAAUUGUCUACAAUGAAAAUCAACAACAACAACAACCAGGGAAUUAUUUAUUUUAUUUAUAGAACAAGAAAUGUAAGUGAAUAUGUUGGCAAAUUCUUCAAUUCCAAGGUCAACUUUUCCUUUACUAUCUAAAUUAAAGGACUUAAUCCCCUGUCUUGCAUGCCUUCAGGAAAUUGAGAUUCCUUUAGAGUAUUUUUAAAGAUUCCUAGGAUGUUCUUACAUGUCCUGGUCUUUUCUUAUUACCUUCAGUCCUGAGACCCUGGCUUUCUUGUAAUAUCUUUUCUCAUCUUGUAACUGUUCCUUCUUGUCCUGUUUCAAUCAACCCAAGAAGGUUAAGAGAGAAAGAGAUAGAGGAGAAAAGGGAAAGGGGGGGGGGUCGGCAUUGAAGCAAUCAGUUGCCUAGAUUUUGAUGAAGAUAUCAGCAUACUAUUCUCAUUACAGUGUAAAAACAGACUCUUACCAGAAGUGCACACUAUGAGACAAUAUACAAAUUUCAUGCCUUAAGUUGUUCUAUAGUAAGGUGUUUGUCAUCAGUGUAGUUCCUGAUAUGAAUCUGAGGCAGAUUUUAUGGACAUAUUUUAAAGGGAGACAUAAUGAGAUUAGUUUACAAUAAUCCAGACUACUAUUUCAAAUAGAUUGCUAUCCCUAUUUGUCUGUGCGUCUACCUUUUUUUUUUUUUAUUCAUUGCUCUCUUCCUAUGACCUUUAACUGGGAGACAUAUAUAAAGAUUGCAUGCUAAUGUUUCAACUGAUUCCUUUCAUUGUUAUUGGUAAGUUUUAUACAUAAGGUUCUUAUUGUCCCUGUAGAAGGGAGAGGUAAAAUCAAUUUCCUCUUUAACAUAUUGAUAAACAACUCCAGAUAUAAGAGGUAGGGAGGAGAAACUAGAUUUACCUUUGUAUGACCUACAUAGGAAUGCUGGAAAAAAUUAAUUCCAGAAUAUUAUGUCAACAUUCCUUGAAGUCGUGGAUAUGAUUUACAUAGUAGGUCUUCUCCAUCCACCUAGCUAAGCUACUUUCAUCUCGAUACUGUAAAUUGCUUUCAUUUUCCCCCUCCGAUCUGUGUGCUUGAGGGAUUGUUGUGAUAAAUUAUGGAGGUACAGAACUGAAAAUGGUGUGUAGAUUGUCUAAGAAAUUGAGUGCAGUCAGCCUUAAAAGUGGUGGAUGAUGUGUUAAAGCAGCUACUCACCCUGGCCAUGUCCCAUAUGUCGUCAAUGAACAGCUGCUUUUAACUUUGCCUUUUGCCCAGAGCAUGAGAGCUGCUGGAUUUAUUGAAUUAAUAACCACUCCAUUAUGUGUGUUUUGUUUUCCUGUGACCGUGAAAUCUGGCUAUAAUGUUAGGAAAGUGUAAGACAGGUCUCCUUAACAAACAAGGCGGUAUCUAUUUUUGGGGUCAUUAUUUAAUACUUAAUCUUUUGGGUAGAAAAUAAUAGGGAAAUCCUUUCAAAUCUGGAAUAGAAUGUUUCUAACAAUAUUGAGUUAAAAAGAAAUUUUAUGGGUUAUGUAGAUAGAUAGAAGCCGGCUUUCACUAUGAUUUGUGGGCUAAAGCAUAGCUACUGACUGCAAUGUGUGUAUGAUUGAAUGGGGUUUUGUUGUUGUUGUUUAGCCUUAUUUUUUUUAAAAGCAGAACGUUAUGUAUAUUUCUUUUAUAGACAAACAUCUAAAUAUUUUCUGCAGGAAAUGAGGGCAAAAUAGAAGACCAUCUUCCUUAUGCACCCUGGGUCAUUUCCUGAAGAUUUUUGAAUUGGACACAAAAGGCAGGAUUUUAACAGAGGUGGAAUGCAGCACAUGUGGAAAAGGUUGGACCCACGACCUUUAAUUCUUUUGACCAAGAAGGUGCGAGAUAAGUCUUCUAUCAAGAAGUUGCAGUCGGGGCCAUUAUGAUUAAUGGUGCUUUUUUUUCAUUUUUUUUUUCUUCUUCUUCUUUUUGUAAAAAUCAGGCCAGCUCACUACUGUUCAUGUUGAUUCCCUAACUUCUAUCCCUUUCAAUCUGAUUUUAUAGAAAAAAUACAGAACGUAAGUGAAUACUUUUGGCUCAGCUGUUUCACCUCCUGUUUAUUUCCCUGUUGCUACUCCAAGUGGCAGAAAUGGUUGUUUUGAAGAGUUAGAAAAUAAUAGUUUUGAAAUUUUAUUUUGAUCUGCUUAUUCCCUGAAAAUAAAAGUAAUAAAUAUAAUGAAGUUUGCUAUAUAAAAGGCCUAAAAGAUUACCUGUUGAAAAUCCUUUACAUAGGAGGAAACUAAGGUCUGGAAAGAUUUAAUUUGUCUAAGAUUAUAGACAUUAUUCUAAUAAGUUUCUAAUGAUUUCUAAUUCAAGGUUUCACCUAUCACAAGAAGAAAAGACCUGUAUUUUUAAAGAAACCAAUGUUUCUCUGUUAAUUUGUUUACAAUACAGAAAUUUCCCAAGUUACUAAAUAAUGAAAUAAGAACCUUUCUAGCAUUCUCUUCUAAAAUCAUAUUUUUAAGCUGGGACUUAAAAGUAUAUUAAAAAUGAAGGAUCAUAACAAUGCUUGACAAAAUAUUAUAAGAUGCUGAAAUGUCUUCUGAAUCAUUUGCUCAAAAUUACGUAUCGUGUAGCAGAGUGUAUUUUAUUUUUAUAUCCGGUAGUCCAGCAUAAUUAUUUUAGUGCCCACUGUGCCUACUACAGGUAUUAUAGUCCCCACUUUACAAACUAGAAAAAUGAGAAUAAGUAUUUUAACAAUUUGCUUAAAGUUAUAAAAAUAAAUAAUUGUCCUGGGAUUCAAAUUCAGUUCUAUUCCAGUUGGAAGCUCAGUCUCCUUCUACUACUUGCUUAUAUGUAAAAAGUGCAUUAAAUGAAUUAGGGCCCAUUCCCCACAUAAACAAUGGAGCAGAAAAUUUACUACAGUUGACUUUGAAAUAUAUUCAAAGAAAAACUGAGGGAAUGGUUCUUCUCCCAGGCUCAACCCUUCCACAAACACAGGCUUGGACACACAUGCUGUCACUCAAGUUAUUAUGUGAAAUAGUAUUGCAUGACUACAAAUUGCCUUUCUUAUUGGUUAAAAUUCAAGAAUAUCCACUGAUUUUAUUUCAUAAUUUUAUUUGUAACUUUGGGGAGCAAUUUAAGGCAAUGAAAAUGUUUUCAAAUCAUAGAAUUCUAAAAAUAGUUAUUUUAAAAGGUAAAAAUGAGAUUAUGGAAGCCAAAUGUUUAUUGUGGUGUCUUGCAAAAGAUAUGAGAAAACAGAGAUUUGGGAAUCUGUUUGGUAAUAUUUAGAUUGUUAGGUGGAUUAGAGUGGUUUGGGAAUCUGUUUGGUAAUAUUUAGAUUGUUAGGUGGAUUAGAGUGGUAAUUGGAUCAUUGUUUCUGUUUCUAAAUUUAACAUGAAAAUGAAGUAAAUUAUUCACCAUAGGAAAGCAAUAUCUUUGGAGGAGUUUAGAAGUUAUUUGUAGAGAGACUGCUUAUGUGUUUGCAUGGACCCCACAGUUCUCCCUCUCGCUCAAGUGGUCUUGGUUUGGGUGAGGUUAUAUGGCCACCAUAUUGUGAGAUCACCACAAUAUCACAUGAUAUAUUAUGCAGUUAUUUCUCCAAAUAACUGGAAAAUUCUGACUAUAAAUUGCCUUGUUUUGGGGGCCAGUUCUGUAGUUGCAUGUGAAUACUAAGAUCUGACAUCUAAGUACAGAUUCUGAGACUCCAUUUCUUGUAGAUGCUGCUGGGAUCUUCUGUAAAGCAUGUGAUGGUGGCGAGACAAUCUUGAAUUGAUAUAAUAACCAAUUAAAAGACACCAGCUCCCUGCAUCUUAGUUCAGAGAGUUGGCUCUAACAAUUACUGUGCAGAAGAGGUAAUGUUUUAAGGAGGAGAACAAAGAUUACAAUACUGAAAACCUAUAAUUUGUUUAUUAGAGAAAUGUUAAGUGAAAGCUUACUUUCUAUUCAAACUCUAUGACCUUUGACCUUAACUAAGCUAACAAAGAAAACCCACAUGGGUAUGAGAAACACUGACAAUAGAUCUUAAUAAGCUUUCCAUAUUUCACUUAUUUACUUAAAUUUAUAUAUAAAUAGAUAGAAUGUGCUUACUUAGGUGAUAAUAGUUAUGCUUCACUAUACGGAUUUUAUUUAUAUUAGGUAUUGCAUUAAAUGAAAUUAGACACUUGAAGCCCUUGAGUUGUCUGUAUAUAUGGACACAGCUGGACCAAGUCCUGAUUUACAAGAACCACAAUGGCACAAAGGACAGAAGGUAAAAAAUCGGUUUCCAAAAGAGCCACACUCUAGAGAAGUCAAAUUUUACUUAUUAAAUUUUAUUUUUCAGGUUUUAAUUGUGCUCUAAGUAAACAGGUUGAUGUUAUAACAUAGACACAAUUGCAGUGUUCUUCAUUCUUAAAUCAAUAGACUGGCUGCAUUCUGCAGUGGCUGGGUUUCCUGGGUGGUCUGUAAGAAUUGCCCCAGGAGGUAGGCACUGUCAUAGUCUAAUCCGGAUGUUACAAAGGUAUGUAAAAUGGCAUGUCUUGCAAGUUUAGUUUAUGUGUUGUCUGGUCUUUCAGUGGAGAUAGACAUUCUUUUAAGCUUUUUUGGAACCUCUGUGGAAUGAAUGGACUUGAAAAGCUAUUAACUUUGAUUUUUUUUCAUAAAGGAGAUUAAAUGAGACCCAGAGUUUAUUUAGAAAUCUACAUGAAGAAAUUUACAAGCUGUUUGAAUUAAAAUGCAGGUCUGAUGUUUGUAUGUUGAAUCUACAUAUGACUUUAGUUCUAUUACAAUUUUUUAAAAUUGUCCUUGCAUCACUCAACAAUGUCUAAUGAAAUCAGUUUUUAAUGCUUAUUUUUUACAUUCGGGGAACAAUGAAAGUGAAUUUGGGGCACACUGUGGUUUCAUGAACCGUCAAUUUGGCAAUAUCAGAAAUAGUGAAGUAAUAGUAAUGUUUCCCUGGAGCCAGGAAGCAAUGCUGUGAGGAGCUGCCUCUAAGACAGUUUGGGAGGCAGAGUGGAAUGCCUCCCAGCUGGGGAACUGACAGCCCGUGGUGAGGCAUUCACUGAUGUGGCAGUCCAGCACCUGCCCUGCCUGCAGCGGUGACUGAAAGGGAAGCAGUCCAAACUGUGCAUUCCAGUCCUUACUGGGCCACCUGGAAUUUCAAGCUAAAGCAACUGGCUUUUACUUAAAAUGCAUCGGGAGCCUGGUUCCCCAGCAUGACCUUUCACUCAUUUUAGAGAAUUAAAUAGAGCUUACCAAAGGGUAACCUUCUCUCUUUUUCAUGCACCUGCACACAUCCCAAACCAAGAGUGUGGAAACUAAAUGAUCCUUGAAAGCAGGGAAACAACGUUGACCUUUUGUGAGUUAAGUCUUCCUGGAAAACAUCUGGGAGGAAAGGUCUUGAUGAUAUUGAAAUCAAUGUCAAAAGAACUGAUAAUUUGAGAAAACAUUUAAAGAUUUGGAGUUUAUUUCUAGCAAAGGCCCAAACUCCCAGGAAAGGAAAAACGUGCCCAAAUUAAAUGAAAAAAUAAAAUGUAUUCUUGCCUUUAUACAGAUGGAGUGGAAAGAAAAAAAAAAACACAAAACCCUCUGCCAAGUAAUUAUUUGAGGGUUACUAAAAUGAAUAUUCUAAUAAUUUCAUUAUAACCAGUUAUCUUCAGUGAGAAAUUCUGAGGAGAUGUGCUGCUUAGAAUUAUUCAAGUAAGAAAUCCAAUGUAAAUGGUUUUAAUCCUUUCUAGUCAAAUUAAUAUGGUGUGGCUGUCUUGCGGAUACAGACUCAGUUAUCUUUCUUGUUGACACGUAUAAGAAAAUUCCAACUGGGCACACAUGAUUUAUUCUUUAUAUCUGGAGCCGUGCUGUAAUCAUUCACCCCUUUUCAAGUCUAGUUUGGCAACUUUAUCUUGCUUGCAGUUUGCAUUUUUGAAAGUGAAAAUAUAUUCUGCAGCUUUUGAUGUGUUGAUUGGUAGGAAGGUAAAGACAGCUGCACACAGUCCCCGGAGACAGGGCUCAGUGGCUAAAUGAAGACCUCUAGUGCUUUCUUGUUAGCCAAGAUAGAUCUACAUCCCGAUGAACCACAACUAGUCAAUAGCAGCGGCUCUCAGCGCAUGUGAUCAGAAGCUACAAAUCAGUUUUCCCUGGGACUUAGUUAUCGGCAUAUUGUGCCGUAGGCCAUGGCCUGCUGCUGCUGGCUUGACUGUAAUUUUUCCCCCAGUGAAGUUUUUAAAGUCACAGGCUGAGACUGGAACCGUGCUCUCUUGGCAACAAGGCUGUCACUAGCCUGCCAGAUAUCAAUUGCCCAUCAAAUAAAUUGCUACUUUAAUGUACUCAGCCUCUUACUAUUAAGGAAGUUGGAUGCUAGCAGGAUUUCCCAUUGUUAGGUUUUCCUCUCCAAAAUUUAUUUCCAAAUGUCUCCUUGCUUAUAACCAACACUUGUAUAUUAUACUGAUGGAUGGCCAUGGGUUGGCCUGUUGCAUUUUUAAGUCUCCAUCAUGUUUGUCUGAAGUAUUGCAAUAGCCCCUGUCUAGUUCUCAAUGUAACUAGCUUCAUCCUAUCUAAUCCACCUUACUUCCAGAAGCAUCUUUCUAAAAUAUAGAUCCAGUCUUCUUUAAAAAUAUCUCUUUAUAUAUCUCCUUGGGUCCCUUGAAAAUCUCCUUGUGUUAGGGCCUAGGAUACCCUAAGAAAAUAUCACUUUUAUUAGGGAGAAUUGCUUUCUUUGAUCACAAGACUGAACCCUGAAAGCAGUCAAGUGCCUCUUCUUCUUUGUAGAAUUGUUUAAAUUUAGACACCAAGCCAUGCUUGAAAUACUUGUGUUAUUGACAGCAUCCCCUCUAAGAAAAGCCUGCUGCUAUUGCAUAUCCAGGGACCUGAUGGGGCCACUCUCAUCCUCCUCUGCUCUGAUGGGAUGAGAUUCUCAGGGCAACAUUUUCCACCUUUUCCACCAGUGUGAGCUGUUUGCUGCUCUCUCCACCCCAACACACUAAUACAUAGUCAUAAACAUCAAACUCUGGAGAGCAGUGUUUAUGAAUGAUGCGUGGCACCUUCAUCUCCAACUGCCUACCUCUUCCUGUCCCAGGAUAGUCCAGUAGUGGCAAAUUAAAGCUACUCACAGCUCUCUGAAUAUCUGCCUUUUCAAGCUGGGGUGCAUAGUACUUGCUGUGAUUAUCUUAGUAUGGAUUUUUCUUGUUUGUCUGCCUACUAAACUCUAACUCAUUCUCUAAUUCUCAACUCAAACAUAACCUCUUCCCUGACAUUUACAAAGGCCAAAGGGGGAAAAAUAUGUAUUCUCUCUUUUUUAAUGCUCUUUUUAAUGUAUUUUUAAUGUAUUUUUUAGUUGUAGUUGGACACAAUACCUUUAUUUAUUUAUUUUUAUGUGGUGCUGAGGAUGGAUCCCAGGGACACACACGUGCCAGGCGAGCACUCUACCACUGAGCCACAACCCCAGCACUGCAUUGUUUUUUCAAAUGAGAAAGUUUGUGUCUGUUUAGGAAAGAAGGUGGGAGAAUGGGAGAGAUUGAUAGCCUGGGAUAAUUGAUGGAACCCAGUCCAGAAGGAGAUGAUAAAGGGCAAGAUCAAAGGCACAGAAGGAAAGCCUCAUCUUCCUGCCCAUACCCAGCCCCCAUGGAUCAUAGCCAUUUGUUCCCUUCUUUUUCUCCCCACUCCAAUUGAAUGGUGGCCUAAAUCACCAUCUUCCCUUGCUGGGAUCACUAUAACGUAGUCUUUUAAGUGAUCUUCUUAUUUCCACCCUUGUACAUUUAGAAUAAUUUUACCCCAGCAGUAAGAAUGAGUCUUAAAAUGCUGAUCUGAUCCUGUUACUCCUUGGUCAAGGCCUGCCAUCUUUCUCUUAAAUUCCAGUGGGUCAUAGCCCACAAUGAUCACCCUGCUCUUUGUCUUCCACUUAUCAAAUUACCUUCUGAUGCAAUAUUUAGAUUGGUGAUUUAUAUUGUUUAUUUACACCCCAACUAUCAUGAGAGAUACAUGAAGGAAGUUUUCUUGAGUUUACUUUUCUGUUGUAUUCCUUGUAAAUAAGACACCGAGUGUAUCCUCAAUAAAUAUCUGUUGGAUGAAUUAGUAAAUUUUCCCAUGAAUGCUUGUAUACAAAAAUGGUAUAGAGAUUGGCAAGCACAAACUAUAUGACAUCCAUGCCUUUGGCAAAAAGUUUGGAUAUUUCUGAUAAAAGUUCCUUUCAAUAAAAUUUCUUGACUACUCACUAAACUUACUAAACUUGGAUAACUAUCUCAGAUGACAUUAUGGUUUCUGUGAGGAAGAUAUUAAGGUCAUUAUUAUCACAUAUCCCAGUGAUUAUUUCUUAGAUUUUUGUUUUUCAUUUUACCAAUGAUUAUUGUUUGCCAUUUCCCAAAAUAUACUAGUAGAAUGAUUUUAUAGUAAUGACUUCUAAUAAAAUGACAUGAAAUUGAAAAAAAAACUGCCAAGAGAACAUAAGCAAAAUUGGCAAUGCUUAUAAAUUAUGAUUGAACAAUAAAUAUAAAGAACUUCAUAGUUAGUUGCAUGUUUACAUGUUUAUGUUUUGAUUACUGAAUGUGGAGAACCUGCAAUUAAAAUUUUUAUUUAAAAAAGUUGUCCCUUAUUGGUGUUCAUUUUUUUUUCUUUAUGGACUAUAUUUUAUAGUAACACAUAGUAUAGGAUUACAUUUUUUUAUUUUAAACUCUGAGUUUAUCUCUUAACUCUGUUUAUAACCAGGACCUGAUUUUCAUCUCUUUCAACACAUAUGAGCCAAGAAAACAUUUUCAUGGCAAAAGACAUUUAUACCUCUGUGUCCUGAAAGAGAGCAGUGGUGGCUGUUUGGACUUGAACAUCAUAUUAGGGGAGUCAAGUCACACAUUUCUCAAUGCCAUUAUGCAAACAGAGGAAGAGCAAAAGCCAGAGCCUACAAAAGUAAUUCUUGGAUGGCUUGAGGAGUAUGUAAAAUGUGCUCUAUAAUUUUCAGCCUCCUGCAGUGCAAGUGAUUAGCUAAAGAAACACUUUGAACCUGUUAGUUGUACAUCUUUUAAACCAUUUUAAAUUAUGGAAAAGAUAGUCCUCAAGAAAUUAAUUAAAGUUUUGGACAAUAAUGCAAUCAGGGAUAUCUAUGUUUGCAGUCUUUCCUCUCUGCUUGCAUACAUCUUUCUCUGUCAAGUACAUCAAACAGCUAAUUAGCCCCAUUUUAAGAGCUUCUCUGCUCACAUCACUUAAAAGGAUCUCCAGCCUGCCUUUUAGAGAGUUCACACUUGCUAUGCACUGGCUUUCUGAAUGCUUCUCAGGCUCUGAAAGAAUCUAUUCGUUACCUCUUGGAGGAACUUUAAAAGUCGAUGGACUUCCUUACCACAAAUUGAUUUUCUUUGUUUUCUCACUCAUGAUCAGCAUUUUAUAAAUAAUCUUGUAAAGGUUGCUAAACCUAUUUCACCUAGUAUUUGCUUAUUUUAGUUCAAUACCCUUGGUUUUCUGAAGACAUCUGAAAAACAUUAGAAUGACUGUUUUUUAUUAAGACAUGUGGUACCAGGAGGAAAAAAAAAAUUACGAGACUAAAGUGUUUCUUUUAUUUAGCAUAAAGUGUUACUACCAUGACCAAAGUUCAGUGUUUCAAAUACCCAUUUUAGAAAUAAGUACAGGUCACAUGAUCUAUAGAUAUCACAUGUUAGCACAUGUUAAAAGUUAUAACCAUAACUAGAGACAGAAUUUCUGACUCACAGCUUCCAUGAAUCUGAACUAUCACAUGACAUCUCAAGUUGACUAUAAAAAUAACUCAAGACGCCAGAGUGCUUCAAUUAACAGCUGAAAUAUUGUGAUAUUUUAACACAGGUGAUACAAAGAAUCAGAGCCACAAAUAGAUACAUGGCUGUGAAUUAUAGCUCUUUCCUUAAAGGUUUACUGUUGAAGGCAGAUGUUGAGAAUGCUUUAUCUCCUUAUAAGCUAAAGGAGAAGGGCAGGGUGUGGUGGAUGGUACUGGGAAAUGUUAUAUUUACAUAAUUUCUUGAUCAUUUCAAUAUCUAUAUGAAUACGACUGGAGGAAGUGGGUGUCAAGUACACCAAGAACAACCAAUAGUGAUGGGGAUGGAAACCCUAUAGCAUCUUGAGCAGAACAAGGCACUCAGAGGAGGCAAGUGCAUGUUUAAGAAGUAAUGACAACAAUAUUAGGUAUCCAUUGUGAAACUGGUGUGCUUUAGGCAUCAUUGUACAUGUUUUCAUCAUUGUGAAGGUUUUGAAAAUAUUAACUCAUUAAAUCUUCAAAACAACCUUUUGAGAUUGGUAACUAUUAUUAAAUAUUGUCACCCACUUUCCAGUGUAAAGACCGAUGUGCAGAGAGUCUCAGUAACUUUCUCACAGUCACAUCUAGUAAGGGCUGGGUUUGGGAUUUGACCCCAGGCAGUUGGGCCCCAGAAACCUGUAAUCUUAAAAUCCUGGUGGAAGAGUGAAAGGAAGAAAUAAUGGAAAUAGAUGAAGGAGAUGGGGAUGGGAUGGAAGUGAGAUAAGAAGUUAAAGCAGAAAGGAAGACUCAAUAGAGACUAGAAAAAAGCUAUUUGUUUUAGUGACACCUAAUAUUGUAACUUUAAUGGAGGGUCAAAAUGUUUAAGGAGUAAAGGAAAGAAUGGUGGGAAAAAGAUUUCCCUGAGGAGUGUGAUAUUUGACCUAUGCUUCUGAAGUAAAUCAUGCUGGAUUUAAGAUUUUUUAUUUUGCCUUAAGAUUUCAUUAAAACCGAACCCCUAACUUGUAUUAAUGCUUACUAAAGUAUAUUUUCAAACCAAGCAGAAAAUUAUUUCAACAAAAAUAAAUAUUAUGGUUUCAAAGAAGAGGGAAUGAAAGCCAGGUUGAUACAUGAACUAUACAAAUAAAGUGAAGAAAAAUAAAAACACAUGAACGCUUAAAUAUUUUGCUCAUAUGUUAUUGACAGCAUGAUCAUAAGUAUCUGUACUUUGAAACUAUGCAAUUGAAGCCUUGUGGCUGUCUGCAUGCAGGUAUACCUCAGAACAAUAGAUAAAUGGUUUCAAUGCUCAAAACAACACAAAAUAAGCAUGUUUGUAGGGUGGCAAUUGCUGGACUGAGAUUAUUUUUCAUUCUGUUCUCCUUGGGAACACAUUAUGAAAUAAGUUCCCAUUCCAUCUGGCUUCAGUGGCCUGAACUGGUAAUGGCUGGGUCUUAAGGUGUCUGAGUAACCCAUGCCAUGGGAGAGACUCUGAAAAGUUUAGACUAGAGGCCACAUUCAUUGUCAUCUAAUUCAACCAAUUCAUUUUGAACUUGAGGAAAUUAGUGCCUUAGAAGUUAGGAUUAUUCAUUCAUUCUACCAUAUCACAUUUACUAUGUCCCUGCCCUGUGUCAGGAUCUUGUCUGUGAUUGUUUAAGGUCACAUAGCUAAUGAGUGGUGGUUAGGAGCAGUAAGAUUGGUGGUCACUCCACUUGGGGCUCUUCCCAUCAAAUCAUACCAUUACUCACUCAAUGCUAUUCCUUCAAUGUGGUUUUGAAGAUGUAUCUGGCCUUGGUCAUCUGUACAAUUUCUAGAUGUUGGAUUCUUGCUCUUUGUUUUCAGGAUAGGUCCAGCCUAGCAACAUUUGUCAUGAGAAGUACUGUUCACUGUUGCGAGUUUGCCAUUCUUGGAUUUUGAUAUCCAUGUCCUAUCCCACAGUUCACUACUAAUGAUAGCUUAAAAGUGGCAUAAGUAAAAUUGGAGAUACGCUUAUAAGAACAGCAAUUACAAAUCAUCACUGGUAGUACAUGAUUUUGUUGGCCUCGAGAUCUUUGCUAACCCUGUGCAUUUAAGGUAUGUGUUUAGGUUUUAAAAAAUUUUCUAUACUUGGAAAAGAAGUUACCAUUUGAUUCAAAUGUAUGAUAUGUCAAGAUCAUUGUAUUGUCAUGAGCAACUAAUAAAAAAAAAAAGAAAAAGAAAAAGAAGUUACCUAAGCACAUUAAGCAACCUUUGUUACAACAUUCAAAGUACAUAAUAAUGUAAUUCAAAAGUUGCCCUCAAUUUAUUGUACUCAUAUUUUAAUGGUGAAAUGGGAAGUUUUGGAUUUGAAAUGCAGUAUUUGGUACCAGUGCAUUCCUACUUCCCUCUUGAUUGCUAAAAUAUCAUAUCCAUCUUCCUUUAAUUCUUAUGCUAUUGUUGGAUUAUAUACCUCUCAUCUUUGCCUCCUUUGUCACUUAUAGAUACUUCUAUUCUCCAAUGCUAAUUUCUCUAUGCAUAGUUUGGACCUCAGACCUUGCAUUUCUGGGACUGCACCAUCUAUUAUUGGUGCAAUAACAGUUACUAUCAAUCUAUCAAUGAAGGAUUUUAGAUAACUACAUUAUAUAUGGCUGGUGAAUGCCUGUCAGCUAAUAUGGUAAAUCAACUAAGUAUUGUUCAUGUGUUCCUGAUACAUAAUACCUCUUCACUUAUAUCUUUUGGUUGGUGCUGUUUGACUCACCUGUUUGGUGUUCAUUAUCUUCUUGUUAGAUAAAAUGCAUUGAUUGUGUUGCUAAGGAUCUUUUUGUAUCAGAUGCUAUACACUUAUAUUUGUCUUUGAAUCAUUGGUAAGUUUGACUUAUUUAUUUCUAUUAUUUGGUGUUGUCUAAAUACUUAUAACAAUGCUGAAUGGCAUGUGUGGGCCAGGUGCUGCCAUACCCCAUACCUCACUUCUGGACAUGGAAAUUUUGAGUCUAUUUGCCAACAUAUUUUUAGUGAGUUAUUCAGUCAUUUUUCCUUUAAUCCAGCUGUAUUUUUUAUUCAUUUUCAAAAGAACAUUGUAGGAUUUGGAUCCAAGUUUCCACUAAUGGGAGGGACUUGACACAGCUAAGUUCAGCUUCUGAGAAGGGACAGAAGAGAGUUGGCUUUAUUGCUGAUCCAUCCUGAUCUCUUGGUUUAGUAACUGGGUUUCUGCCUUGUUUCUGUAACCAGUGCCUGCCUUAAAUCCACUUGUUUCACUUGGGUUCCUAUGUUAUUUUUCCAUGCUUUAGAGUCUAUCUUGAACCUUGAUCUUGGAUGACCAUAUAGUUCCUUUAGGACAGUUCUGUGUCCUUGCAUCUACUCUUUAGAUCUGAGACUAUGUUCUUGAAUCCAUACCCAGCAACACGGACCAUAUAUAUUUACAUAGCUCUCUAAUUUAAGCCCUUGUUUUUAGUCAGUUCGCAUAGUAUCAUCAUUUUUGUUUACUCACCUGGUUUCCUAGGUAUGAUUUUGGCCUUGAAAGAUCAGUAAUAGUCUGUUUUAUAUUUUCCACAAUACAGUGGCUGCUUAGCAAAUGUUUACUGAGUAGGUCAACUACAAAUUAUUCUGCCAAUUUUCUACGUAUAGAGUGUCUGUUGCUUUUUUAUUAUUAUUAUUAUUUCUCUGAUACUGUAUUACCUGUUAUCACUUUGGAAACUACCUGAUCACUGCCAUCUAUCAUUUAUUACCAUAAGCCCAAUAUCUCAAUUACCAUAACCCCCAUUAUCUGAAUUACCAUAACCCCAGCAUCGGAUUUCCACGCCUUGCAAUUUCUGUGUUGUUCUCCAGUGCAUGAUUCCCAACAGUGGGCACAUUUACCUCUCAGCUUCCUAGUUCCAGCCUCUCUUGACUGGCUUCUUCAUUGCAUUGGCCUACUGAACUCAAAAGUCCUGUUCUGGCAUAUUGAAAUUACUUUUAGUUAAUAUUUUUGAGUGCUACUUAAAUAAUGUAUUAUUCUAAAUAAAAGAUGUUCAUCUAACCAUUAAAAAACAGGGUCAUAAAAAUUCUAAAGAAAUAGAUGAAAGUAAUUUUGGUAUCAUUUCUACUAGAUCUGAACGGUUAUGAAGCCACAUAUUUCCCCAGGUAGCACCAUAAAUAGUAGGAAAUUCAGGAAUUUUCACAUUUAUCAUAGGCUUUAUUGUAACCAUUAAAUUUUAGGUUCUAAGGGUCUGACAAAAAGAACUUAUUCUAAACGGUGCAAAAGAAGACCAAGUGAGCUGGGCGUGGUGGCACACACCUGUAAUCCAGCAGUUCAGGAGGCUGAGACAGGAGGAUUGCAAGUUCCAAAUUAACUUCAGCAAUUUAUUGAGGCCCUAAGCAACUUAGAGAUGCUGUCUCUAAUAAAAAAUAAAAAAGGAUGGGGGAUGUGGCUCAGUAGUUAAGCACCCCGGGGUUCAAUCCUUGGCACCGAAAGAAGGAAAGAAAGAGAGAGAGAGAAAGAAAGAAGGAAGAUGACAGAAUGAAUAGAUUAAUCUGCUGUGUUUCACAAACCUUUUUGUCUAUGUGCUAAAUUCAAACUUGUGAGAGAGUUCUGACAUCUCUACACAUAAGAAAAGCUUAUGAACAUUUCAAGAAACUUUUGUGGAAUUCAUGACAUUCAGUAUAAUUGCCUCAAAAUUACCCUCUGUGAGUUCCUCACUGGAAUUUCUUAUAAUCACAAUGUAUGUAUAACAUUUUAACCUAAAAUUUUAACACAACAGGUAUAGGAGUAUGAUCCACGAGGGACACUGAGAAAAUGCCAUGUUUACUGGGUUCAGUCUGCCAACACUGACAUCACUAAAGCAUCACAAAGCAAGCAAGACUAUCAUUACUAUCAAAAUGAAAUUGUAAAUCAGAUGGAUAUAUUAACUACAGUUUUCAAGAAAAAGUACAAUAAAGAAGAAUGAUCAAGAGAGAAAUGCUUAUAAUUCCAAGGACACACUUCAUCAGACACUGCAAAUAUUACAGCAGAAUGAAUUGACAUCAUGGUAGGUUUGCCUCAAACCUGUUAUCUUUAAGUUAAUAGUUAUCUACCAUGAUAGAAUGUUGAAGCCCUGAUGUAACAUUUAAGCUGUUCACUUGAUUUGUAAUUGGAAUUCUUUCUUUUGAAUCUGGAGUGGUAUUUAUUAUCUUAUUUCUAGAAUUGAUGAGACUUCCAAAGUAGCUAAGUAAUUCUAAAAGAUGCACAUAUCCAGGAUAAUAAUAAUAAUGUGAUAGGAUGUCAACCAGACCCUCUUUGGUACUACUAAAUCCUUAAAAUAAAAAUUUACUUAAUCAUUUCACUUCUAGUCUGACUGAAACACAUUUAUAUUCAAAUUAUUAUGAGUUGUAGACUGCUUUGGUAAUUUAUAUAAGGAGGGACACAGUGACAAGAAUACGUAAGAAGAAACGCUCAUCUGCCAGUUCAAUUCCAUAUCAGAAAUAUGGAAGAUUGACAAUGCACAAGUGUUUUAUUGACAACACAGAAGAGUACCUUCUAAAUUAGUCAAAUACUUAAAGUAUAUGUACUUGUAAUUAGAGGUCAGUAAUAAUCAGGGAUUGAAACAUUUUUUUUACCAUAGUUUCUAGGAUAAAGGAUACAUCCAAAUCUAGCUGUUUAAUCAAUAUAUCAUCUUCUGUGUUCAUAUCCAGAGAAAACAUUUUAUGAAAAAUAAUGAACUGCACUUGCUAUAAUGCUGCAACUUCCCUUUGAACAUAAUAACCUUUUCCUUAAUAUUGCCUUCAUUCUCAAGUAUUUUAAAAUUACCCUCACAAACUCUCAAUGAUCUCAUUCAGCCUGACCUUGUGGUCAUGCUGAGCACAUAGGUGAGACAGUAUAGGUAGGAUGAGAGGUAGAAGUGUGCAUUGUUCAAGAACAUUUCCCACUUGAUGAAAAAAAACUUGCUUAUAAGUACAUAGAAAAAAUCUGAACCUCUCUACGGAGCCUCAAAAUACAUUAUUCAAUUCCAACUGAUCCGUUUGAAUGAUGAGAUCAAGGACACAAAAGUUAGAGAAGUCUGAGUCCUAUUCGUAAUCGUUUUGAGGCUUAGAUUUGCUAAUUAUAAUGAAAUCUUGAAAUGAUGUUAGUUGAUUCCUCUUCACAGAUUUUAGUAUCCACAUUUAUAUCUAAUGGUAAACAUAAAACUGAAAAGUUUAAUCAAACUGCCACCAAUUUUUAUAAUGGAGAAAAUGGCCCUAAAUAUUCAAAAAUUCAUUUACUUAAUCAUGUAAACAAUAAAUUUCCAAAUUAUUCAUACAAACUAAAUAAAUGUUAUUUCCUUGAAAAACUAUAUUCAGAGCAUCACCUGAUUAUUUUUAAGUUUUAUUCAUUUAAAAGGCAAAAAGAUAAAUAUUUUUAUCCUGAAUCGUAAUUAAUACUUUUUAUAUCAUAGUGUAUCACACACAUAAAUGCACAUAUGCAUAUAGCAAAACAGAAACAUUCACAAAACAAAAACUAUCAUUUUUAUGUGUCUUAUGUUCUGAUCUUUUCUACUUUUUCCCAUUUUAACCCCUUUUGAAUUUUUUAAAUGACUGUAUUUCCUACUAAAUUGAAGUCCACUAAUAGCUUAUGAUCUUCAGUUUGAAAAAUAUUCUCCUGAAGUGUAUUCUACAGCCUGUUACAAAGAAAUUCUAUGUUAAACUAGCAGUCAUACAGAUUUCCCUUGUCAAAGACUUCUUAGGGUUUAAUAUCUUAGUUAUGAAACUCCAGGGAGAGGCUCAAUAUAGAAUAUUGCAUUUUCUAACCAUAUGGGAUUGUGGACCCAAACUUCCUUUGCUCAUAUGUCCACUCCUUCCUUCCUGUUCAGGAAUAGUUUUUUAGGGAAACAAAUUGCAUGUAUUUUAUUUUAUUUUAUUUUUUUUAAAGAGAGAGUGGGGGAGAGAGAGAGAGAGAGAGAGAGAGAGAGAGAGAGAGAGAGAGAGAAUUUUUUAAUAUUUAUUUAUUUUUUUUUUAGUUCUCGGCUGACACAACAUCUUUGUUUGUACGUGGUGCUGAGGAUCGAACCCGGGCCGCACGCAUGCCAGGCGAGCGCGCUACCGCUUGAGCCACAUCCCCAGCCCCAAUUGCAUGUAUUUUAAUUAAUUUAUAUACAUAUAUGAAUAUGGUAUGAUGAAUCCCACUAAUAUGUAUAAUGAUAUUGCACCAAUAAAAUUUAAAUAUAUACAUAAUAUUAAAUAUUGAAUUCAUUAUUAUAUAGGUCACUUUUGAGUAUAAUAAAUGUCAUUUUUUACAUUUUUCUCCUAAAUCAUGUAUUUCCAUGUGGGAACUUACAAUUGGCAAAAAAAAGUUACUCUGUCACCAAAAGCUUCAACACUUUUAUUCCAUUAUUUUCUUUUUCAUUUAGCCUACUGCUAUGUUUUAUUUUCCUUGCAAGAUAAUUA
This 51651-nucleotide long non-coding RNA is filed under the name Marmota monax (woodchuck). Lineage: Eukaryota; Metazoa; Chordata; Mammalia; Rodentia; Sciuridae. The record is from RNAcentral.